This 48742-nucleotide long non-coding RNA is filed under the name Phoenix dactylifera (date palm). RNAcentral describes it as "long non-coding RNA (PDAC_LNC002229)". Lineage: Eukaryota; Viridiplantae; Streptophyta; Magnoliopsida; Arecales; Arecaceae. The record is from RNAcentral.
UUGUGUUUUGUAACUCUAAAAUUGUUGUGCAUUGUUAUAUGUUUAAUGAAAUAAUAUUUGUGUCUGCUACUUUGAAAUUCAAUAUUUUGAUUUCUUUUCAUAUUCUUGUAGGGCAUUUUUUCAAUUUCUAAUAAACAUAUCUUGCAUGUUAAAAAACUAAGGGCCUGUUUGGCAUCACAUCCAAUUUUCAAUUUUCAGUAAUUUUUUUUACAAAAACACAGAAAUCGGGCAGGAUUGGUGUUUUACAACCCAGUUUGUAUUUUGUCUUUUGAGAACUCUCUCGGUGUAUAGAAAUUGUGGAAGUUAAAAAUCUAAUUUCAAAAGCUUUUGAAAACCAAAACUGCUCGUGAGCACCACCAUCGUCACUGCCACCACCACUUCUGCUGCCACCCGUUGUAGCUGCCCAACACCAUCCAUCAGCCACUUCCCCCACCGCUUGCCGACCACCACAACAGCUGUCACCACCACCAUCGCCACCGCCACAUCCACCACCAAACACAACCCAAAUGACAAUGGACAGGUUUUGGGUUUUGAGCUCGAAAAAAAGAAGAAGUAGAAAUUUGGUUUUAGUUAGUAAAAUAUGAAAAUUGGGAGUAAUGCCAAACACUGCUUAAGUUACAUACAGAUAUAGAAAUUUCAGAACAUAAAGGAGAUAACUUGGGAUUGUGGAUUUUGCAUAGUUGCAUAAGUGGGCAUAUUAUUUUAAAUAAAAUAACACCCUAGAUAUUAAUGCAAACCUUCGAGGAACAUAUUUAUGCACUUUAUUAUCUUCUUUCAAACAUACAUUAGUUUCCUUGGACUCCUGAUCCACAUUUGCAUGCUUGACACAUCAGGUUUUGUUACUGUCUUACUGACAAAUUUCUUCCUUUACCAUGGAUUAUGUUAUGCUUGUAAUUUUAAGAUUAUAUACACUACUAGGUCUACUUCUUGGAAUAUAAACUAUUCUGUGGGAGUGGUUUUGUUAUAUGUUAUGAAGUUUACAUCUGUAUCACUAUAAACUAUGGAGUAAACAUUGGUUCUCAGCAGUUCAGGACCGGAUUAUUCCUGGUCAUUUUACAUCUUUGCUUAUUAUCCUAGGACAGAUUUGAAUGUUAUGCUAUGUACAUGUUUCCCUUCCCUGGUUUGUAUGGCAUAUCUCUCUUCCCUGGUUUUAUGGGCAUAGAGCUGACUAUUAUUAAUUGUAUUCUGCUGGAGCUUGGCCAUGUAGAUGUACCCCAUAUGAUGAGUAGCCUUGGCGUGCUCCUACCUCACUCUGGAACCAGGUUGGGGAAAAAAACUAUUCCUAUCUAUUAAGCCCUUCUUUAUAUAUGUAAUUGUUGGUGGAAUAUUUAUGUUAUUGGAAAUAACCUAUCCUUGUUGAGACCACCCUUUGUUGGCCUGAAUGCUUGAUUAGUUCUUGUUUGAUCCCUUUUUGAUAAACUGCUUGCUUGCACAAUCUAUUCUCUUUAAAAUAUCAUUUUCAGGUGAACCGACCACCUUUGUAUACUCAUGCAGAGGACAAUAUGCUUUCUGCACCUAGCGACAAUGUGUUGGCUGUUGCAGGAUCGAGACCAGGAAAUGAACUGGCUACUGUUCCUCAGUCUCUUCAAGCUCCCAGGUCCAGGUGGAAAGCAGCGGACCUCCAGUCUUGAGUCGUCCAUAAUGCUGCUCACAGAUCACCAGGGUGCUGUAUACACCAUGAAGUUCAACCCAGCAGGAACUGUGACAGCAUCUGGAUCCCAUGACAGAGAUAUCUUCUUGAGAGGACACAAGAAUGCAGUUCUGGACCUCCAGUGGACCACCGAUGGAACCCAAUUAAUCUCAGCAAGCCUUGACAAGACUCUUAGUGUGAGGACCUGUGAGGACGUGCAUUUAGUCCCACAUUGGUUAUUCACCAAAAAAAUCUUGGGUACUUGUAUAGGACUAAAAAGUCAAAAAAAAAUACCUUUCGACUGACCAUUUUGGGUGAGGUCCUACAUUGUUAUAAAUGGUAUCAGAGCGAACUCGGCCCAUAACCUAUGUAGACUAGGGGACGCUACAAUAUGGGUUCAUGGAAGCUAACCAUAGGCCGAUCAUGAUACUUAUGAUUAGAGUUAAACUUUUAGCCUAUCGAGGAUAUCAAGACUUGAACGGAGGGAUCCAUGCGAGCGUGUGUUUAGUCCCACAUCGGUUAUUCGCUGAGAAGAUCUUAAACGAGGACGUUGGGGGCUUACAUAGGGGAGCAUGUGAGAACUAUGCAGGUGUGCGUUUAGUCCCACAUCGGUUAUUCACCGCUGGCCUUUUUGGGUGAGGUCCAAUGUGACAUUUAGAGCAUGUUUGUGAACUCAUGCUGCCCUUCACGCAGAGGUCCAACCCUUGUUGUGAGUGGCUCCAAUGAUGGGACAGCCAAACUCUGGAUCUUCGUAUGAGAGGUGCAAUCCGGACAUUUCCAGACGAGUAUCAGAUCACUGCUGUCAGUUUCUCAGAUGCAGCAGAUGAGAUCUUUUCCUGCGGGUUAGACAAUGAUGUGAAGGUGUGGGAUCUUCGCAGAAAUCAGGCGAUAACGACUCUCCAGGGCCAGGGGGGCAUAAUAACAGAAGGCUGCUAAAUUUAGCAGUGGUGGGUGUAGCUUCUGUAUGGUUUGAUGAUGAUAUAGUGCAAAGAAAUUAGUGAUGGGUGUAGUUUUUAUAUGGUUUGAUGAUGAUAUAGCAAAAAGAAACUAGCAGCAACAACAGUUGCUUUACAGUUUGAUCAAUUGUUCCAUCUAAAUCACACGGUAAUCUGAUAUUUUGAGAAUGGCAGUGUAUGUCAAAAACAACAGAACAACUGCUAAAUUUAUGUUCAUGUUUUUUUUUCUCUUUAAACUUUUGCUUUGCAGACAGGAUUUCAUUGAUGGGUCACCUGUCGCUGUUAACUUAUGUUACACUUACCACAUUCUUGAUCCAUCUUGCUCAAUGUCAGUGAUGCAGGUUUUGUAUUGUUAUAUCUCUUUCUUCAACUUGUGUUGGGUGGCGCAUGUCUAAGCUACUGCUUUGCUGCUGUCCUAUUUUCUGCUAUUGCUUUUGUUCUUCACCGGAGAGCAGUGAGUAGAUUUAAUUCUUCAGUAAUCAUUUCUAUAACUAUAAUAUUUUAAUUAUGUUUACUGGAUAAUUUUCCUAUUUUGUACGUUAUGGAGCAGAUCGAAGCCUGGUGUCCAUCAAGUUUGAUUGUCUGUGAGACACAAAACAAGUCACUAAGCCCCCUUUGAUGCUCUCUGUGCUUCAGUAUACGUAAAUUCAGUGAUCUACAACUGUUAAGAGGCUUUUGGGCUUAUUGACCAUAUGGCUCAAUCCUUUGAUGGACUGCACCUAAACCUACUCACGCCUGUACAAUUACACCAGUGGCAUGACUAUGCUUAGGGGUGUAAGUGGAUUACCUAAUAUCCAUAUGGAUAGAAAUUGGAGUACCUGACUAACACUAUAGCAAAAUUCGAAAAAGCCAACUCAUCAUUGCUGAUGCUAGGGAGAUGCGUUGGUAAAUUUGGUUCCCGCGCCAAAUUUUGCCGACGCUCGGGAACCAAAUUUACCGACGCAUCUAAUGAGUGUCAGCAAUCUGAAAGAACAUAUAUUGUCAAGCAUCGUCGGAGGUCUCAAGCUAAGCCAACGUUGUCAAGCGCUGGGAGUCGGCUUGUGACGAUGCUUUUAAGCGUCGUUGUUGUCCUCCAGUCUAAAACGAUGCUUAUAAGCGUCAUCGAAGGUCGAGACCUAAGACGACGCUUAUAAGCAUCGUCGUAGGCCAACUCUCCAAAUCAAACCCAGCGCCUGAUCCGGAGUCCUUAUUCUGCCCUAGCUAGCCUCCUUUUUCUCCUUUCCGAUGCUGAGAAGCUCUAGCCCCUAUUUUUCUCCUCUCCAGCACCGACUGACCGACCCCAUUCCUCUCCGCUCGAGGUAUUUUUCUCUUCCUCCCUCCUUCUUGCUUGUUCUCCUCCUUUUUUUUUAUGUGUUUGUGGGUGUUUUUUUCUUCGUUAAUUUGUGAUUUACGCACGCUAUUUCUAGUUUCUAGCUUCACCUUCGCCCUAGGAUCUUUUCCUCCUCCCUCCUCUCCGGCACCAACCGACCAGUCCUGAAACCUCGAUCGAGCUUUGCGUCUGUCCAAGAUCUUCUCUUCCUCUCUCUUUUCCAGCAUCGACCGGUCCGAAGCAACAAUCGAUCGAGGUCCACCUCUGCCCGAGAUAUUGCACUAUGCUCUUAACUCUUACCACAAAAUUAGAAUGUCACAUUGUGCCAUUAGAACUAUUAAUUUAGAUACGAUUGGGAUAUGGAUCUAUUACCGAUUUGAACUGGCAAGGGAUGUAGUCCAGAAUCUAGUACGAGACUAUUAGGAAAUGUGAGAUCUAACUUCAAGUUAGGUCAUCUUCAUAACCAAUAGGAAGGCCGAUGAAUGCAUUUCCUAAAACAUCUUUUUAUAUAAUAAUUAGGUGUGACUGUUUCACUCUUUACUUUAUGACAAGAGAUUCCUACUUUUAUGAAUCGCAAACUAUGCUUUCCAGCAUAAGAAAAACAUUGUUUAUAUAACGAAAAAUAGUACUGUUGUUACUAUGCUGAUUUGGAAACCCGAGUUCAUCCAUGGACUGAUUCGGAACUAGAGCAGAGUGGAUGGCUGCUGAACUUUUUUUUUUGGCUACCAUGGUAGCAAGAUAGGAUUAGGUUGGAGCCUGCAGGGUUAGGUGGGCACUGUAUUCCCGCAUGGACAAAUGAGGUUCUGGAGUGGUGUGAUGGAAGGAUAUCUAUGAUCACUGACUUGGAAUUGGAGCCUCCAAGACUCCAACCACGUUCAUAUAGAUCUGCUCCAGAUGACGGAUGAUUAACGUGCUCAAAAUCUUAGGACUGUAGGAUUAAUGACCCUUCCAAUACCUCCAGUUUUUUUCUUCACUCUCUCUUCCAUACUUUAUUCUAAAGUUGAAACUUUGCUUCACCUCGCGAACAGGAUAUCAUGUGAAUCAGAUGGCCGGAGGCAUCCACGAACCCCAUAAGUUGCUUUUAGAAUAUAUUUUCAUUUGUUGAUGGCAACAAAGGAAAAUCAUAAGGAAACAUGGUGGAGCGAGUUGCUGGUUAUCCUGCCAAGUGAAUGUCACCUUUCUGGUCAUAAAAUCCAUAUACUAUGCAUUGAGAUGGGUGCUCUAAGCCCUAUAUCGCUUAAUAAUAUUAUGAUUCAGUAGUUUCAUUUUGUCUUGUUUUACUUGUUGAUGCUAAGCAUUUUACUUGGAUACUUUUUAAAUUAAUAUAAUAAUUCAGACGUUUGAUGUAAUACUUUAUGUGGACAUUAACAUUGAAUAAUUAAUCAUUACUUAUAUUAUUUUUUUUAAGUUCCAAUAAUGAUGGAGAGAAAUUGUUCUGAUAGAUUAAUAGUCAUUGCUCGAGGUCUGAAUAAUAUUGUCAACGGAUAUGAUGGGUUCAUUAUAAAUGGUUUUAAAUUUCAUACUAAAAAGCGUGAGAAAUUUAGAACAAUUCGAAACAGUGGGGUUAUAGUUGAGGCAGACGGAAAAGUUUAUUAUGGUGCCUAACAGAUAUUUAUGAGCUGGAUUAUUAUGGAAAGUUUAAGGUAGUAUAAUUUCGAUAUGAUUGAAUGGAUAUAAACUCAUCUAAAGGUUUAAGGUAGGACAUAAAUGGAUUCACACUUGUAAAUUUUUUAAGGUUGAUAUAUACUAGUGUGUUAUUGAAAGAUUACCCAUUCGUUUUUUCAUCUCAAGCUCGACAAGUAUUUUUUGUGCAAGACUCAAAAGAUAAGAAUUAGUUUGUUGUCAUUAAGACUAAGCCUAGGGACUUGUAUAAUAUGAGAAAAGGGUUGGAAGAGGAGGAUGAUGAGACUUAUACUUAGUAUAUGACUUAUAAUAUUGUGCCAACUGAUGAAGACUUAUACUCAAGGGAGGAGGUUGUUAUGGAGGACGAGACGAGGACCCACUCGAGCAAAGGAUGUGUGACAGCUUCCUCAGGGUGAGAAGAUCGUCAUCCAAUGCAACGAAUUAGGGGAGCCCAUCAAGAGGGCUAGUGGCCUUUUAUCAAGUUUCUUAGGAUCAGUUACAUGUAAGGGUCAGCUGUAUCUGCUCAACUAUACGAAAUGGAAUGAUAUGCUUCGUUCAUAUAAAGUUGAGCUUCUUGGAGUUAUACAAGUAAAGAAUUGAAUUUGAUUUUUGUUAAUUUGAUACCUUCUUAGAGUUAUACAGGUCAAAUUGGCAUGGCACGACAUGUAAUGGCCUUUGAUGGUGCUUAAAAGUGUGGGCAAAGGCCCUAGAUGGGCUGACAUUAAUAAACGUUGGCGGAAACCGAACAUAGGGGUAGCGUCGACAGAAGCCCGACUAGGCUACCCCUAUGUUCGGUUUCUGCCGAUGUUUAUUAGCGUCGACAGACUCCAAAAUGGGCCGACACUAAUAAGCGUCGGCCCAAGCCUAGAUAGGCUCUAUACUAAAAAAAGAGCCGACGCUUAGUACUCAAAAAUAAGCCGAUGCUCAUAAAUUGGGUUUAUGCCGAUGCUUUUAAAAAGUGUGGGAAAAAAAUUUUUCCACCUCACUUGUCCGACGCUUUUGUGAUGCUUUUGGAAGCGUCGGCGCUAAAAUUUCUUGUGCUUAUAAACAUAAGUAAAGGCGCUAAAAAGCGCCAGAAAAGACUUUCUUUUUAGUGUAAUAUCCGUGUUUGUAUACAUAUCCAUCGAAGAAAAACAAAUAUGGAUAUAAAUAAACAAUUAUCCGAUCCGUAUUCGAAUAUCCAAUUUCAUCUAAUUUUAUAUAGCACAUACAAACUUAUAAGAAAAAUAAAUGAUCAUACUAAUAUACUAUUAACUUAAUUCACCAUCCACCUAGUAAUAUCUUUGAUUCUGUGGUCAUAAGAUUUAAUUAUAUGAUUUAUAUUCGUAUCUAUAUUCAUACUUUUGGUGGACGAUUUAUAUCCAUAUUCAUUUAAAAUAAAUAUUAAUAUGAAUUUUUACAUCUGACUAGCAUCUCUGUAUUCAUCAAACAAACAAACAUAAAUAUGGAUAACCAGUAUCCAAUCCGAUUUCAACUCUAACUAUAGUUGUUUAGAAGAGAGAGAGAGAGAGAGAGAGAGAGAGAGUGUGUGUGUGUGUGUGUNNNNNNNNNNNNNNNNNNNNUAGUAGUAGUAGUAGUAGAGAGAGAGAGAGAGAGAGAGAGAGUGUGUGUGUGUGUGUGUGUGUGUGGAGUAAAGCCAGCUAGGCCUGACUGUAAAUUGGGGACCUGCCUUCAUACGUGUUUCUCCAAUAGUAAGGAGAGAAGGAGACAUCACUUGUUGAAAUUGGAAUAGAAGCUAGCCUGAAAUAUAUAAUUAUGUCGCUCUCGCAAUUGCAAACAUCCGUUGCAGACCUCCUACACAGGUGAAGAUAACAGAUCUCCAACAAUGGAGAGUAACAGAGGCUGCUGUUGGACAAUGGAUACAUGGGGUCAGAUCCCAUCAAUGUACUCGCCGAUCUCUCAAUUUUUACAAGGCUGGUGUGCAAGCUAUACCUAAAAAUUAAUUCUCAUAUUUGGAGUAUAAGCCUGAAGAUGCUUCCUAGUUUUCACAUAAAAUUCCAUGAUACAUAUACAACAACUUAUGAACAUCUCUGUCAUGUUUCAUGGGUUAGACAGGCACUAUAUCAAUAUGUUGAAUCAAGCUGAGGACCUAUCAAUAUUUUCAGGGGAAUCUACUUUAUUUUUCUUUCUGGACCACUUUUAUUUAUUUAUUUUUGUAUUUCUUUAUAAUUUAUUGGAGGAAUGGCCCAGUAUUAAAAUUUGAAGAUGAUUUUGCUUUUGGCCUCAGCAAGCACACACACCAACCAUGCUUAUGUGGAGUUGAAUGCACAUGUUUUGAUAGCCAAUGCACAUAUUUUUAAUACUAAUGCAUUUUUUUGAUAAUUAAUGCAUAAAUUGUUAUACAUAAAUUGUGUAGCCAAAGGGAAAGUAUCUAAAGAUUUCAAAACUGGGUCAUUAUUCCAAGAGGAAGAAGAUGAUUCAGAAAUGCAAAAAUGGAAUCUAAGCAUGCCGUUUUAACAAAAUUCCAAUAAUUCUUGGCAUUGUAUUCCAUCUUCUCUCUCUCUCUCUCUCUCUCUCUUUGUUCAAACAUCUCGGCGUCGAUCUAAAUAUCUUGUUUUGUUUCCCUGCCGACAUGUCCCGAUCAUUUGUUUGGUGAGAAUGGCGACAUGAGUUUAAUUCAUAUAUCAUUUUUUCAAAUGUCAUGUAUUUAGUAAUCAUUUGAUUGUUAUUCUUCAGGCGGUAGUUAUGGAGAACAUUAGUACUAAAAGUAUGAAGAUGUUACUUGGUUACUUGAUGUUUUCUUUUGUAUUGGUCUCCUUAUCUCAUGGUCCCAAUCAACCAACAACAUGGCUUCCUUUUCAAGAAGAGAUCAUGAUCCAAGAAUGAUAAGUUAAAAUAAAGCCUUGUGUCCCCAUAUUUUCCCUCACUCCAUCCAUCAAUCCAAUUUCUUGGCUCCUUUUAUGUCCGAGUGAUCUUCCGUCACCAUGGAAAGGGAUGUUGUUUUCACUUUUUUUUUUUUCCCUUCCGUUCUAGUGGCCCAUCACAUUACGCGAUCUCAAUCACUUGAAACGAAGAGGAGCAAUUUUGUCUCGGCCAUUUAUUUGCUAGAGUACCAAUAUUCCAAUUUGCUUUCCAAGUCAUGCACAUUUGUUUGCUAGGUCAAAAGGCACCUACAUGUGUGCGUAGAGAUCAAAAUUAUCUGCCUUCAAAUAAAAUCUUUCAGGUGAAAAGCUCAAAGUGAGUACGACAUUUUCAUGAUUUAGAUUACAUGAUCUUGACUUGAGAAAGCUAAAAGUUGACUAUUUGAACUUGCAUGUCUGUCUCGUGUGCCUAUGAUCCAUAGAUGCUUAGACUGGAGAUGACUAAAAUUACCCCGAUACAUGUGAAACACAACUUUCUUUAGUUUAACGCAAUCAGAUUUGGGUGUGGAUUUGUCCCUUCCUGUUUUAUUCACGACAUUCUUACUGCUGUUGCUAAAAGAAGAAUUAUAACAAAACAACGAUCUAAAAAGUUGGUAGUCCCAAGUAGGCUAAUUAUAUAUAUUUAAUAGGCUAUUUGACGAAAUUGGUGCCCCUCUAUUUAGCUUCACCGUGUUCCUUUUACGUACCUUAUGUUUUUCCACUUAAUUUCAUUUCAUGAUUCUGUAUUCUGGAUUUGUGGUUACCAUAGUUUUAGACAAUAAUGAAUGUUACAAAGGUUUCAGGCAUUUUUCUACUAUCUUAUAAACACGAGCAGUAGUCUACAAGAAUAGCCAUUAUAUCUGUAAUUAGAAUUUUUAAAACUAUUACCUGUGCCUGGCCCACGUCCAUGACCACAACAGCCAUGCACCAUGCGUACCACGUACGUCCUGAUCUGACACCUCAACUUCCUCCAUAACUUUUACACUUAGCAUCAAGUGGGUCUUAAUGCCUGUUCAAUUAUUGUAUAAGUUAAUCUUUCAUUGAGCUGAUGUUUAUAGGCUUGUAUAGGGCCCAUCACCUUUUUUGCAACCAAAUCAUUCAAUAUAUUUCAGUUCCUCGAUUACAAAAAUAAUAUGGUCGAGUCUAGCAAUUAAUAUUCUUAAUAUCUUCUUGAUUUUUUUUUUUUUAAGGUUACAAACACUUCUUUAAGUGUUUGAGGAUUACCGUUUUCUCUUCUUUCUUUUUGAUCUUUUCGACCCGUCCGAGAGGGUCUAAAACUGCUAUAAGAGCCAUUCUAACAGAAAAUAGCAGCUAUUAUUGUUUAUUAUUUUUUAUUAUCAUAUCAUUGUCGCAGUCAUUAUAGCAAAUUAGCAAUGAUCAUUUUAUUUUAAUAUUGAAAUUGAAAUAUAAUAAUGUUUUGAGAGAAAUAACAUAUAUUAUAAAUAUUAUAAUGGCCAAUAAUUACGAUGCAAUAACACUUUAUUGAAACCAGAUACAGAAAAUGAACCCAAGGAAAAGGAUGACAGCAUUACUCUAUCUUUCGGGUAAUAAAACUAUAUGAGUCAUCACAUUAUAUACCUGACCGUUGGGAUAAAGAAAAAAAAUUUGGAUACCUUCCAAAAAGAAGAUAAAAUUUCUGAAAUUAUUAGAAUUCUAUCAUGUUAGGACAAAGGUCGAAACUAAGAAACUCCUUGACCAUCUGUAUUUUCUUUUGAAAAUUGAGUUAUAGUCCAAGAACUAAAAUUUUUAUUAACUAAAGGUGUCAAUGGUCAAGCUUGUCCAGCCCGACACAAAUGUAGACCAAGGAUUUAGGAAUUCAGUUUUUUUAUUUUUUUUUCUCUCACAGGCCAAUUUACAGUGGCUCAAGCACCCAAGUCCACUUGCACCAAAUGUUUAAGCAAGGGCCCUGCCUAGAUUGAUUUAGUGUUUAUAGAGGUUAUAGGCUCAAUUAAUUAUUAGGGCCUAAACAUUCAGCUAAAGAUUAGUUUUCUUAGGUUUGGUUGUCGUUUAAGCUUAGCCUUAUGGUGGGCCCACUGGGAUAGAUAAACCAAUCUCAAACCCCAUUUUUUGAAACAAUGUACAAAAGAAGACGAGCAAACUAGCUCAUCUACACGAUACCAAUACCAUACGUACAUAAUAUGUAAAUAUGGCUAAUACCAUCUGUCGUUCGUUCAACCCAGACUGCACAUCGUGGGACAAAUAUAUAAAAAAUAGCCAAAAGAAUGAUUGGAGUAUAAGAAAAACUUAAUACCCAAAUCUGAUAAUUUGGAAGCACUUCAAUCUAAAACCCUAGAAAUCUUAUGGAAUUCAAAUUUUCUUCUAACAUGCUUUUGCCAUGCUGAAUACUAGUAUAUAAAUGAAUUUUAAUUUUCACAGUGCCGGACUCGAAAGACCUAUUAUUAGGGUUGAGCUCAACCAAAAACAUCUUGUCCAUGAGACAUAACUCACCUCCCAAAGAGCCACAUGAGACAUAACUCACCUCCCAAAGAGCCACAGUGAUCCAGUGGAUAUGUGAGCAGGGGCGGACGCGGGACAGACAUCCUCUUCUCGACGACAGUUGGUACGAGGUUGUAGUGACUUUCAGAUAGUGUAUAUGUAUCGGAAGGUGAAUAGAGCCGCCGACUAGAUCGCUUUUUAUGUUGUAUAGCACUUUGGAGAGGUCCUCUAGACACACCAGGCAGUCGCUCCAGCAUAGUUAUAUCAGAUUGUAGCCUUUGAUUCUGCUGGCUGCACCUACACCAGAAUUGGGUGAGCAGCCGUUGUACCAAAAAAAAAAAAACGCCAAAACCCAAUUCCUUUCUAGACUGGCCAGCUGCAGCAGAACAAUUUAGCUAAAAAACAGAUAGAAUUCAUUAGCACGUGCGGGAGGACCAGGGUGUUGGUUACGUGGCUUCGAGCGGUGUCAACAGGACCCCGUUGGGCGGUAGCUGUCGGAGGCUCGGAGCAGCAUCUUUUCUUUGUUUUUGGACGCGAGGAGGAAGUGGGGAAAAUUAAAGUGAUGUCGGGCGAGAGACCUCCCUUUUUUUUUCUUUUUUCUUUUUGCUAAAAAGAGACCUCCCUUUGUGCCGACGCUCCGCCGGUCAACGCACGUCAGAUGGGUCCCACCGUCCAUGAAGCAACGACACGUCAAACACGAGGUCGGACGCCAUAUUAUCGCCUCUCUUGUGAGAUAAACUUAUCAACCAUUACUACUACUAAUAUUAUUAUUAUUAUUAUUCACAUAGUCUAAGAAUAAUACAUCUGAUUUUGGGCCACUUGACUUCAAAAAAUUAUGAUGUGUAAGAACCAAUCAAUUAACAACGUAUACGAGGCCUAUAAAGUGAUGUUUUAAUUUGAGAUUAGAUACGUACGUCUCAUCCAAACCCGGCCUAAUAAAAGACCUGCUUGUGGAAUAUUGGUUUGUUUCUUAAGAGAAUGAGGUUAAAUGAACCUGGCAACUAAGUGUUUCAUGAACUAGUGACUCAUUUGUUUGUAGCUUGCUUCCCUUCGACAACAAGUGAAAGAGGAUAUUCACUCAUGCCUAUCUUCAAAAACUCACCAACUUCUUCUCGCUUCAUCGAAUGCUUUGUAAAAGUUAAACCGUAAUUUUGGUAUUUGUCAUAGAUAGUUACUAGAAAGAGAUUGCUGUAGUAAGCUAGGGUGAGUGUAUGUAGAUUAUUUGUUUCUAAUCUUUGAUGAGUUUUCUUUCCAAUGCCAAAUGGACCAAGAAAAGGAUGGUUACGUAACCGUGAUGUAUUUAUGCAGGUGGAUUCCAGUGAAGUGAAGUUGAUUUAAAUAAUUCCAUGAAGAAAAGUAGGCGUUGGUGGGAAGAAGUGCAUGAAAUCCAACAUCCUCUAUUUUUCCCUUUUUACUGUUUGCUCGUCACCCUGGCCAUUGUUUAGUCCCCACCUGUUGACUUUCAAAGGAAUGCAUUGAAAACCUUUAAACAAGAGGUAGACUGGAAGCUUGGAUAUGGUUCGUGGUUAGUGGUCAUUGUUAGUCUUGUAGGGUAUAAUUAAUUGGAUAAUGGAGAACAACUUGCGAGCAAAAACUCUCCUGGCUCCCUUUACAUCUUCAAAUGCUCAGGUCUGUCAAGGGAUCAUUCGUCUCCUUUGGUUUACCUUUCCACCUCUCUCAUCCAUUCCAUUGCUUUGCCAUGAUGGAAGCUUGGAUUUGGAUUUGCAUCUCAAUUAGUUAGCAACACAAAGGUCAAUCACUAAUCCAUCGAUGUAAGUUGCCAAGGAAACAUUGCGUCAAUCAUCAUAAUGUUAAAAGGACCACCUUUGAGCACCAAGUCAGAAAACUCUCCUUAUGCUGCAAUUAUUGUCUUUAGGACUAAGUCUGGCUCAACAAACCUUGACACUUUUUAAGUUAAAAUCGCCUCGCUUAAGUAAACCAUUGCGUCGAUCUGAGGAGACCUUGUUCUAGAUAAACCAAAAUAAAGUUCAUGUUUUUUUAGUUUCUCAAAUGGCACACUAAAGGCAACAACUAUUACAUGGCAUAAAAAAAUGAGGAGAAAAAAAAGGAAUAAUAUUGUUGUAGUAUCCAAUACCUAAUGAUGUAAAAGAGAAGAGAGUGUGGUGAGCUUCAGUGUGUGAAUGACCAAUUCCUCUUAUUUCUUUCUCCUUCUUUGGCUAAUUGAAACCAAACAGAAGAAAAUGAAAGAAAAAAGAUUAGGUUGCCAAGCUUUAGUGGCAUGAUCCAUCGAACACCAAUACGUACAUCAAACUUCAAGAUUCACAUUACUUUCCUGAUGUUUAUCCAAACAAAGUAUGAAAAUUUCAAUAAAUUGAUUGCCAACAUGAGCAGGAGAACUGUAAGGCUGCAGAUUUGCUUGCAGAUACAAAGUAUAUUAGCCACUUGCAUAUCACCAGGAAUUAUACAUAAAUUAGGAAGACAUAUAAUAGAAAUUGUCCAUUUUAUCCAUUAUUUGAAACUGUAAUCAUUAAUAAUAUAUCUUUUCAAUUAUUAUAGAAGUAGAGGAAUGUCUAAAAUAUAUGAAAUUGCACUAAUGCCCUUUGAUUGCCUUCUGUUACUCUAUAAAGUAUGACUAGCUCUUGUCUCUCUACUUGUUAACUGGGAAAUGUUGAUGAUCUUCAGCUCAACAAAGUCUUCUCGAGUCAUGAUAAAAUAUUCGUGCAUGGUUUAACAUUUUAAAAUACUAACUAAUAAAUCAUCCAAAACUUAGAAUAAGACGAGUAGAUUUCACGCCAUCUCAUAAGAUAUCCUAGGCCCUAAUUAAACAACCAAGACACGUUAAUAUAAUGACUUGCCUUUGUUAAUUUUAAUCGUGCCCCCCAACCUCCUCUUGGCUCCAGCUUGUAUAACUUGAAAGAAGAGCCACUAUGAUAUUUCCUUUGGUUCCAAAGGAGGCAUGUCAAGGUCAAGCUCACGUAGGAUGCAAGAUCUUCGAGCUCACAACUAGGACUCCACCCAAUGACCGUGACACCCGUGCACGUUUCUCUUUGCUUGAAAUAUAUAUUGAUCAAAAAAUAAAUAAAAAGUAGCUACUUUAAAGCAUGUAUGGUUACCAAUCCGACGUCAAUAUAUUUAAUUACGUUGUGUUUGAUUCGAAUUGGAAUCAAAAUGAUUAUAUUAUCCGACUUACUUGGUUCAUGGCUGAAAUCGGACUCGGAUUUCAAUACUAGAUGAGGGUCCGAAUUAGAUUUUAGAGGAUUCGGAUAUUUCCCAUUUUUUGUUGAAAUCGGGAGAGAAAUGGAACUCCCCCAACCAAAUAGCUGCAAUGAGAGUCGCUCGUUACCGUUUUUACCUAAUUCCCUCGAACCAAAUAUGCCCUUAAACUAUUUGCGGCUUGGCUUCUUGACGAUAGGAGUUGCACCUGGUCAUUUUCUCAAAUCACAUUCCAAGUUAUAGAUGAGUUCAGAUCAAAUCAUGUUACAAAAACAAUUAUAGUCUUAGAUUCAAUCUAAUCCACUGUAGAAUAGGGACCCUUCAACUAAUACCAUCUAUGACGGUCGACUCCCAUAACCCCCCGCCCCCCACCCCAAAAUUAUUCAAUUAAUUAAAAGAGAUCAAUCACUUCAUAAUACCUUAGACAAUUUCUUGACAUAGGUCAAUCUAAAUAACACCCUAACUUCAAGAUCUAAGUCACGCCAAAACUCUAAUUUAUGCUCAAACCAAUUAAAAUGCAAGUAAUACAAAGGAACAUAAAUUAAGUAGUCAAGUAAAAAUAAAAUUAAUAUUUUUAUAUUGGCGUAGUAUAUAUUCAUAACUAAAAGUAAUAUUACAAUCCAUGAAUAGUGGCUAUGCCAUUUUAUGUCAUUUUACAAUCUUGUAUAUUUUGUUGUAACUAUGAGUAACGAACUUCUUUUAAGUCUCCACUAAUUCAGAAAAUAUCUAGCAAAAGGCUUGACUGGACAAUAACAGCUAUUAUUACCUUCAUAGGGGUCAGUAUACCUACAUUAAAAAUAAAAUUAAAAAGGGAAAAUAAAGAACAAACAAUGAAGAGAGGAUCUGAUUUGUAUGCGAUAAGUGACUUACGUAUAAUUAUACGCUGGACCGCACCUCGCCGUGAUAUCCAAGGAACCUGCUAAUCUCUUUUCCUAAUUAUGUGAUCAGAAAUCAGGGUUGAUAUAAAGAAAAGCAGCAUGAUAUUUCUAAAUGGGAGCAUGUUUUGUAUGAGAGAGAGAGAUUCCAGGAUGUGAUCAGGUUACCUCGCAAUAAGCUUACCAUGCCCUUCAAUCCAGAUCAGCUAAUUGAAGAAAGGGACACAGAUGGGCCACCUGCAGGUAGAGUGGUUUCUAAGCUCUCUCUGAGUAGGCUCUUUCUAGAUGAAUAACCACAGUCCUUGGAGUUUAGUUAAAGAUUGAAAUGUUACAUGAUUUGAUGCUGGAUUGUAAGUUUCAGCAGACCUUGUCUACUCUCCCCAUGAGGAUCUAUAAUCAGCUCAUAAAUAAUAUGUAAUUGCAAUAUAGUUUUUGUUCCUUUGUACUUCAAAUGUUUUAAUGCUUAACUAAGAGUUUUGUCCAAGGUCUCAUCUUUAAAUCCCACCCUCAUCGAAAGCUUCUAAUGCCACGACCGCGUAACAGCAUUAAAAAAAAUUCUAAGUUAAAAAAAUUUCCUGCUUCUCUGAUGAAAAAAGAUGAAUGGAAUUCUUCUGAAUCUUAAAUACAAUCAUUAGGAUUACACACAUGGUAGGCUUGAGGCUUUCCUCAUAAAGAAGUACUGUUUUUGAUAGUCAACUAGGCAUUUGCUCUGCUGAGAAUAACAUUGAGGUGCAGGUCAAUUCUCAAAUCCAUAAUUGUCAAAGAAACAAGGUGAAAACUCUAUUCAAAAAAUUUAUCCAUGAUGACAUAAAGAUCUUAUAUAUGGGAAAGUGAGCUGUAACAACCCAGGACCUCAUCCAAAAUGGCUAGCCAGAAGUUACUAUUUGGAUUUCUUGAUCCUGUAUAAAUAUCCAAGAUCUAUCCAGCAAAUAACCGAUAUGUGACUAAACACUGCAGUGUCCCUUAGUCCACAUAGAUUAUGGGCCAGGUCCGCUCUGAUACCAUUUGUAACAACUCAGGACCUCAUCCAAAAUGGCUAGCCGGAAGUUAUUAUUUGGGUUCCUUGAUGCUGUAUAAAUACCUAAGAUCUAUCCAACGAAUAACCGAUGUGAGACUAAACAUACGCCCGCACAUAUUCUCACAUGAGCCACGUAACUUCAUCACAAUUCUAUGCUUGUAAUGCUCAGCAGGAUGCAAACUGAUAUGUUGUCGGUGGUUGUUGAGACCGACGAAUUAUCAGUACCCUACUAUCGACCAUACAUGAAGAUCCUCGAUUUUGUUCAAGUAAAUGAGGAAGCUAUGAAUCGUAUAUACCGAUUAGAAUGACUUUUGAAUGCAAGCAGACGUGUGACUGUAGUUUACUUUAAUGUAUAGUAAUAUGAAGCUUCCUCACCCUUAACCACUCGAAGCUGAGUGUCAUGUCUAUAUAGAUGCGUGUCAUUUCGCCAACUUACCGAAAAAGCUUGCAUCUUUCCCUCCAUCUCUCCUAACUCAAGUCCCCCACUGUUGCCAACCUCUUUUCAGAAUUUUCUUUUUUAUUCAGUCGUUUCCUAUAAUUGAAGAUACCUUGAAUCGCAAUCCAUUGCAAUGCAAGAACAUCAAAGCCUUGCUUAAAAACCACUUGAUUGUUUCACCUUCCUGUGUUCCUUUCUCUUUCUUUCUGUGUGGGUAUCUCUCUCUCUAUCUAUCUAUCUCUAUCUUCCUGUUUCUCUUCAUCUUUCUUCAAUGUUAAGCAUAGAACUGUAUUCUAUAUAAUUCAGCUGCUAUUUUAUUUGUGUUUCCCUCUCACAAAGCAAACCGCAUCGAAGCUCAUCCACAGAUCCUGUCACCCAGAAUUCUCGGUCGUUUAUUCGGAGGAAUGGGACGGCGUUCCUGCUGUCCGAAGCAGAAGCUAAGGAAAGGGCUGUGGUCUCCUGAAGAAGAUGAGAAGCUCUACAAUCACAUCAUCAGAUAUGGGAUUGGCUGUUGGAGCUCUGUGCCCAAACUAGCAGGUGUGUUUUUGCACUCUACUUUUUCACAAACAUUUCCUCACCAUUCUCUCUGUAUGAUUCAUCACACUUUUUCUUUGUCCAGGAUUGCAAAGAUGUGGGAAGAGCUGUAGACUGAGGUGGAUAAAUUACUUGAGGCCAGACCUCAAGAGGGGCAACUUCUCACAGCAAGAGGAGGGCUUGAUCAUAGGCCUGCAUGAGAUUUUGGGCAAUAGGUACAUAACAUGCCUUGGGACUUCUCCUAGGAACCACAUUUAAAUCAUACAUAAUUCAGUUACUGGUUAUUCAACCUUCUCCUAUUUGGAGUUGCAGGUGGUCUCAAAUUGCAUCCCACUUGCCAGGAAGAACAGAUAAUGAGAUCAAGAACUUCUGGAACUCGUGCCUCAAAAAGAAGCUUCGGCAGAGGGGGAUCGACCCGAGCACGCACAAGCCAUUGAGUGAGAAAGAAGCACCAGGGGAAAAGCCUGGUUUGAACAAUUCAAUCAGUAGUGGUUCCACAGAGCAUCUGCCGGUGAAGCCGGUUUUUGAUCCUUUCCCCUUGAUUGAUAUCCAGGUGGGUAUCGAUGCCACGGAGACUAAUUCGAACCUUUACGACCAAAUUCAGCAAGCUUUUAGGCCUUUUAACCAGAAUGAGUUGUUAAACAGCUCAGGAUUUUGUGAUUAUAGUAGUGUCUUGGAUGUUUCGGAGAAUUAUGGCUAUGGGGAGAGCUCAAGUAACAGUAGUAAUUGGAACUGCAAUGUAGGAACAGACAUGAACAAUGUGUUGGGAACUGAGGUUCUGAAUUGGGCUUCUGACAACAAGGUAGACUCAUUAACUCAGUUGCAGACCAAUGGGAUGGAAACUUUUGAAGGGAAGAUUAGUCCAUGGCAUAAGAACCAGCACCAUGCACAGAGUACAGAAGAUUACAGUGGCUGUCCGAUUAGGUCGCUGUCUCGAGACCUGUCAGAGGCCUGCUUUGAUAUACCUCAAGGGGAAUUGGCAAAUGAAUUCAAUGUGGAUUUCUUUUGAGUUCUUCAUAUUCUCCUGCCCUCCCUCCCUCUCUCAUAUAUCUUGAAAUCAUUGGAAAAAAUUGUGAAUGAUAGAGGUGGAACUUUUUGUCUGUAUUUUGCUUCAAUUUCUUUGCUUUUUCUCCACUGUAUUAUGGCUAUAGAGGAACAAAUAAUGUUACAGGGGUGUGCUCACAUUACAUUCUUAUUGUUUUGCUGGAUCUUCAGAAACUUUAGUGUUGGAAUUGUUUUGAUACAUUCGCCAUCAUCAGCACCACCACCACCAUCGCACUUGUUAUGGCAUAUCUCCAACCGCCUUCUUUCGCAUCAUGAAUUACUCAUGCUUUUAGGCCAAAAAGACAGGAAAAGGCACUAAAAACUUACUUGCCGCCUUUUACUGUUGUUGUUCAUUAAUCUGUGAUCUCUGCAGUAUGUUUGUCAAACAUAACUACUCUAUCUGUACUGCUCAAUAGAAAUGAGUUUACAGCCUAAUUUUAUAACAAUGUUGCUGUUAAUGAGCUUGAUCAAUUGGUGACAAGGUUGCAAUUGUCCUUGUCAUCCAUCCGACAACGAGCUUUUGGCCUCACUGAUGAACAUACUUGCAUUCGGAAAUGUUCUACAAAACUGCUUUCUGUACACAUGUUAUUUGCCUUCAUUCACCCGCCGAACUAGGUAUUCCUUAAUUUGUCCAUUCUAAAACAUGCUAGCACAUCAAACCAUAUAGUUUAUGUUGGAUCAUUGUUCAGUCCAUCACUUCAAAACAUAAAUAGACAUCUAGCUACCAUACACAUCAGAGAACUUUUUAAAAUGCAUGGUCUUAUUGCAGAGGUGAUCAGAAUUAACAGGUAAAAUCAGUCUUUUAGACAACACAUUGCCUUCACCAUAUGGUGUAGUAUAUGGAAGUGAAUUUGCCUCUAAGAUAUUGCUAGUCCAUCUGUCAAGACCUAUGCAUUUAUUUACACAAUAAAGCCCUAUUCAUUAUAACAUGAGUUUAAUGUAGAUAUUGAUGAGAAAAGAGGGUUUUAAUUUUUCUAUUGAUGCACUAAAACUAGAUUUCAGGCUGCACUUGACUUAUUGAUGGAUGAACGAGCUAAGAGUAUGGACAUUUACUCCAAAUGCCUUUGAAGCUUACACCUAACCUGGCUGAUUAAGAACUCGACUUCACUAGUAAGGCUUGCUAAUAGAUUAAGCUGGCCCUUUAACUGUGUAAGGCCACAAUCGAGAAAAUUAAGUUCGAAACCAUUGCUCUCCACUUUCUCCUACCUAAUCUACUAUCUGCUUAUGACAAUGUGUUCAAUGUCAUGUAAUGUCAUAUUAUGGGUGUUUGGUAGUGCAUUUAAGGCUAUUUCUUUGAAAUGAGUUUCCUUUAAAACAAAGUUGUUUCAAAGAUGACAAACUUGCAAACAUCCUUGUCACCUGACAGUAAGAUUGGCUGAAUUCAACAACAUUCUUGCAUGUCAAUAUUUUUUAAAUGACUAAUUGUGUUUAUGUGAUCAUUGUGCUCGGAGACAUGCUGAACUAGGUAACAAUUAAAUUGGUUUUAUAGUUAACAAUUCUCUUCAAGUGGUCCUCUGGAUGCUCUUCUAUGCUAAUCCAAAUUAGCACAUUGCACCAUAUAACUCUGCUUAAGUAUGACAAUUUAAUGGACCACUUUAAGGAGCUCUUCAACUUCUAACUACCACAUGAUUCAGCAGAAUCGAGCCUUAGCGAGAUGAUGAUUUUCCGAAAAGGUUGUUCAAGUGACUGAGUAUUGUUAUUUCAUUCCCAACCGUGAAGCUAACCAAUAUAGAAGAACAUGAAAUAAAUCUGAAUCCAAGUUUCCAACUGAAUUUGAGAGCAUAUAACCAAGUAACAGAUGCAGGUACCCAAGGUAUAUGCAUGUACUCCGAAGCAUGGCACCGGCCAUUGCACACUCCACUUCACUUGUAGAGCUUGCAAUGGAUUAAAGUUGGUCUUUCAGUUUUAAAUUUCAGCUUAUACCACAAAUUCAAGCAGAUUUUUGACCCCUGAAGCAGGAUUAAUUCUCAGGAUUUUGUGAUCAAGGGAGUCACUUGAAUACUCGAGAGAAACAUUGUUGCAAAAAGAGUUCAAUGGCAGUAACUGGUGCUGCAAUGUAGGAACUGAGGCUGGAAAACUAGAUCUUAGAUUGGUCUUCUGGGAAUAAGUUGGUGUUGAAUAUUGUCUUAAAAAAUUCCUAUUAUAGAUGUGCUUGUUACGUAAUUAUUUUUUAAGGAAUGCUCUUGUUGGUGUUUGCUUGGGCUACAAGAAAUUUUAUUACUUCAACAAGAAGUAGGGUUCUGAAAACUCCAUUAGUGUACAUAUAUCUGAUGGUGGAAGCUUGCAAAAGAUAUGAAAAUAGAAAGGUGAUGGAGAUGAGGGCAAUCAGUAGCAGGGUUUUCUUUCAGGCUCAAAUCUGAAGUCGAUUUGUCCUAUUAUAUAUCCUUUAUAAUGCUGGCUUUGAGUUUUCAUGCAUUUUUUGUUUAAAAUAGAAAAGAAAAUAUUUCCAUGCACUUAAAACACACAAGAGUGUCAGCUCCAGUUAGUAGACCAUUUAUCUCCACGACAUCCUCAAGUGCAGACUAGGAGCACCUACAGCAUGUCCCUAGAGAGUAUAAUUCCCUAGUCAUUGUGAAGUAAUAGCCAUUGAACAAUGAAAAGGGUGCCUACCAACUCAGGAUUCUGAAAAAUUUUUGUUUCUGCAUAUCGAUUAUCAAUGACAAUGUCUUUUGUCGAGGGUGCAACCCUAAGGACAACACAUAUUUACAGGGAGGCAAACAGUGCUGCUGAUUGGCAGACUAGAAGCACCUAAAGGGUAUGCCUUUAGAGAGUAUAAUUCCCUAGUCAUCAUGAAGUAAUAGCCAUCGAACAAAGAAAAGGAUGCCUACCAACUCAGGAUUGGAAAUCUUUUGUUUCUACAUAACAAUUAUCAAUGAUAAUGUCAUUUAUUAAGGGUGCUACCCUAAGGACAACACAUGUCUAUAGAAAGACAAACAGUACUACUGAUUGGGUAGCCUCCUAUGCGGCCUAUCACGCUGCAUUCAUACCCGUCGGAUGUGAGCCACCGUUGUAACCAAAAAAAAAAAAAAAAAAAGACAAUGUCUUCUAUCUUGCCAUAGUUAUUUUUUAUUUAAUAACAAAUGAUUCGAAGACGACAAACAUGAGAAAAACCUUGUCAACCAACUGAGGCUAGCUGAAGCUUGAGCCAUUCUUGCAUGUUGAUAUAUUCUUAAUUAUUAGCUUGUAUACACCUGAACAUCAUAUUCAGGGAAUGUUGAAUGGUAACAUAUAAAUUGGUAUUAUAGUAAAAGAAUCACAUGACGUGGUCAGGUUAGCAUAUAGUAUCAUUUUAACUCUUAUUCAGUCUGAUGAUUUUGCAACAAUCCAAAAUCUCUUCUCAAUGAUAUUAUUUGAAUUCUUUAAUCCUGUAUAAAUACUCAAAAUCUAUCUAUAUGAAACUAAAUACAAGCCCACAAAUAUCAUCACAGAUUUAAUGGACCAACUCAAACUUCAAAGCAUUCAUUAAUUUCUACCAUAUGAGUCAGCACAGUUCAACCUUAUCGAAAUGAUAAAUUUUCUAGAGGGGUGAUUGCAGCCUCCAAGGUAACUUAAGCAUUCAAAACUUUUCAAAACUUUCAGAAAUCAUUAACUGAGUGAUCCAUGUCAAGAUGAGAUGGAUGAUGCUGGAAGGUUCAAGGUACAAUGCCUAAAGGGGGAGUCUUGCUGAUAAACUUUUCAUCCUGGGAGUGAUGGCUCUGAGAUCAAAUGUUCAAAAGAAACAUGGAACAAUGACAAAUAGAAGCAUUUGUUAGCACCAACAAAUUCUAGUACAUUGGCCCAAUCAAAAAAUAAUCAUUUUCAUGUCAAUACUUUCAGAUAGAUCAUCUUAACACCAACAACCAUUUGUUUGGAACAGUCCGGCGAAGCUGUGAUCACAUUCAAUUGGCAAUUCAGUAGCAGAAUCUCUUGGAUAAUCCUCUGGCAGAAUGUCAUGACCUUCCAUUGUUUAAAGGCAACAAGGAACUUGGAAGGUUGACAGAAUCAGAUGACCGACAUCUCCAGAGCACAUAAUGAAUCACCCCCAACUGGCGAACAACAGAAGCUUCCCCUAUAAGCACCCCCAACUGCCGAGCAACAGAAGCUUCCCUUAUAAGCGGUCGCAUCAUAUCCUCUUAACACUAUCUCCAUGAAGGACAAUGAGACCCUCACUCAUUAGAGCGGAAAGGGCAUUGCGUAGCUGACAAAUUCCACAACAGUGCCUGAGUUAGUAAAAAUGCAAAGUCUCAAACCUGAACAGAAUAAAUGCAUGCCAUGUUGAGACUUACAUCAUUCAGAUGAACUUCCACAGAGCUUUGUUUCCUCAGCUCUUCCAGCAACUACAUCAUUGACAUGUUGGUUCAGCUUACAGUCAACAAAAUUUGGAUAGUUGCUCCAUAUUAUAAACAAGAUAACUUACAUCAAUUAAACGCAUGGAGAGUCCCCCAAGCUGCAUUUUUUCCAUUACAAGGCUGCGGGUUGCUGCAACUAGAUUCUCCCGUCUCAUCCUUUCGCUAGCAGAUAUUCCAGUCAUGAUAAGAUCCAUGUCGAUCGUCCCUUUUGCAAAAUAUUAAGGUCAGUAGCUGCAGAAACUCAGGAGGAGAAACAAGGGUUAAAAUGAAAAGAAAAGGAGAUUUUCUACCUGUAGAAUGAUCAGUUGCUGACUGCUGCAAUGCAACAUCCAGCAGUCUAUAUGCCUCCGACACAUCAUGAACUUCAACCUGUAAACAUGAUCAAUGAAUUCAUUUUUUUGAAGGGAGACAACAUACAGAUACAAUUCAAUCCCAAAACAAUGAAAAUUGCAACAGCAAAAAACAAACUCAUUACCCAUUCGGAAAAACGGAUGCGAGCUAAUGCUUCACUUAGACGUAUCAAACUCUCAAUUUGCCUAGCUGUUGCUGUGAUCACCUACUCAUGGAAUGCAGAGAGGCUCAGGUAUGUGACAUGAAAUUAGUAUGAUUAUCAGCAUAAAUGUUGUAGAUAGCAAUUUUUUAUUGUUCCAUUACCUUCUUCCUGCUUCCUGGAGCAUUCCCUCUUUUCCUCAUUUCAACAUAGCGAUGUGUCAAUUCUUCUGCUGCUUCAUCAGAUAUCUGGGGAUGAAUGUGUUUUCUUGCAUAGCUAAUGUAUGCAACCAAAGUAGGUAGGUCCAAUACAUCUUGCACUAGGGUCUGCAAAGUGGGAAGCAUUUAAACCUGCUAUCAGCAUCACGCUGACUGAAUAUGAAACUUACAACGAGAAAUAUCAUAGACCCUGAUUCAUGAGCCCAUUUCCUACGUUAUCCACUUCUUGUCAGAAACAAAUUCAUUUCUUUUCCGUUGUCGAGAAAUAUUUACAGCAGCACAAUAUAUUCAUCAUUCAUUAUUAAGUGCUUUAAUUUAUUUCUACUGAUGUAUUUUUCAUAAUUUUUUCAACAAUACCCCAAAUUCUACAAUUCAAGUUUCCGCCCAAUAAAUCAAACCAUAAUACUAAUAAAAAAUAAUAUGAAACUUCUAACCUCUGGAUUUUCAUAAUGCAAUGAGACAAUAUGCUUGGCCAAACGUCUGUCAUUUUGUUCGUCAGCUUUAUCCAGAAGUAGGUAGAUCAGGUCAAACCUGGCAAUAAAAAAGGCCUAAUUAUCUAGAUAAAAAUUCUACCAAGUGUACUAAAUAUGGCUUAUUAUCUUCUUGCAUUAGUAUCUUCUCACCUGGACAGCAAGGUUGGAGGAAGGUGGAUAUUUUCAAUCACCGAGAGCCGAGGGUUAUAGCGCGACCCACUAGGAUUUGCACAAGCCAGGACUGAAGUUCUGGCAUUUAGAGAAGCAAUAAUCCCAGCCUUGGCAAUUGAUACUGUUUGUUGCUCCAUAACCUACAAGAGUUCCAGAGAUAAGAACUUAGAUGUUUCAGAAGCCAACAGCUUAUACAAAUAUAUAAAGAGUGAGACUGAAGCAAAAAACUUACAUAAUCAAGAAAAUCUUGAGAUCAGUUCACAAAUAAAACCAGUAUAACAUCUAGACCAUAGUUACCUUUCUCCUUGGGCUGCUUGGUUCAGUUAUUGUUACAUGAUUCAAAUUUUGUUCUCUAUUAAUGGAUCAGGCAUUGGAAUGGGAUUAGAAUUCACUCCAUGUGUAUAUAUUUCAACAUCAUAGUAUGUGGUUUACAGAAUGUAAAUAAAAUAAUUUGCAACCAAGGAACCGGAUGAUAUAAAUUAUAAUAGAAAAAUUUAAAAGAUGGAUGGAGAAAGAUGAGAAGAUUUCAUACAGUUAGGAAUUAAUUGGACAAUUGUUCUUAUAAAAUCCUUUCGUUCAUUGUUACCAAUUCACAAUUUCGUUGUGAUUUGACAAACUAGGUGAAUAUGAUCUAGGGUAACUAUGCACAACUAUGACUCGUGCAGAAUAGUUUUUUUUAUGGAUGCUGAAGAUUUCUUGGAAGUACAACAGAAAUUUGCAGUAUUCUAACUAAAAAUAAAUAUUCAAUUACACUAUUGGAAUGCAUAGUACCUCGUGCAACAUGCUGCGUGCAUUUUCAGACAUUUUAUCAAAUUCAUCAAUGCAACAGACACCUCUGUCACUCAAUACCAAUGCACCACUCUCCAAAACCUGAACACAUGGAAAUAUUAAACUUAAAAUCCCCUUGAGCAUCAGAUGAAUCAAACUCAUUCUAAGAAACCAUAAAUAAAAUAAGACAAACUAUCAUACAGUUUCACCAGUCUCUGGGUCCUUUGUAACAUAAGCAGUCAGGCCAACCGCUGAGCUCCCUCUCCCACUGGUGUAAAUGCCGCGAGGAGAAAGUUUAUGAAUGUAUUGGAGCAGUUGGGAUUUACUGGUUCCAGGAUCUCCCACAAGCAGGAUAUUGAUGUCUCCACGGAAGCUAGCCCCAGAUUGAAGCUUCAGAGCAUUGCCUCCAAAAAGCUGAAAACAAGAAUUUGCUAAACAGCUUGUUGGUAACAUAUAUUCAACUACUUACAGAUCCUUCUAUUUUAUUCUUUGGAUGAAAGAUAUAAAAUAGAAUGAAGAUGCCAUAUGGACCUGGCAAAGAAGACCCCUUUUGACAUCAUCCAAUUCCCAUAUGUUUGGAGCCAAGGAUCUGGUUAGCCUAUCAUAAAUAUCUGGCAAUUUUGAAAGCUCUUUUAAUUUCUCUACCUGAAAAUCCCCAAAAGCAUGUGAGAAUUGAUGGCUUAAACCUGUUAUGUUCCAGAAAUGAUUUAAGCCUAGGGAGACUUAGAAGUGAAAGGGACAGAAAGCAAUACCUUGUCUUGAUAAUUAGGACUUUCAUCUUCAACUGCCCUGUUGUUAGAAGUGUUACUAUCGCAUUCCAGUGGGUCCUCAAUGUGAAGCUUUGAUUUGUCUGUCUUCUUUAAAUGAAGGCAAUCGAUGUAUGUCUGUCAUUGAAGAAUUCAAGUUAUAAACCACUAUCUUUAAUUUAGUUUAUUUGUGCCAUCCCAACUUUGAGUUACCGCUAUCUAUCCUCAAUUCAAAGUAACCAUCAUUCACACAAAAAGAAGGGGAAUUACAAGGAGAAUUAACAUGAUACAACCAGCUUAUUACCUUGAAUAUAGAUUUUACUGUCCUCUGAGUUGGUCCCAUUCUAAUACUCAUAGCUCUGUAUAUCCCAGUUAUCUGCAACCAGAGUAAAGAAAUAAAAAAAGACACUAAAAUAAGGAAAUGCAAUGGCAGAUUCUCCAAAAAAAUUCAAUAUAAGUUAAAAACUCUUUUCUAACCUCAACUCUGUCUCCAGGUUUCCCGGAGUCCACAAGUUUGUCAUGCAUCAAAAUGCUGACUGUGUGUGGAGUCCCACCUUCAGGUAUCUCAUCUGGAGUCUCCUGCAAUUUCACAAUCUGUUUGUCUGCAAAUCUGAUACCACAAGACCCACCCAUAAGUUACUAUAGUGCUUUCAUUAAGUUAGAUUAUUGACUAAAAGCAAGGAUUUGACUAGGAGAUACCUGCAUCGAUUAUGGACCAGCGUCAUGGAAUUCAAAGCCAGACACUCUGGUUUUCCACACCUGGUUGGCUCAUUUAUUCGGCCUAACCAAACAAAAAUUCUGAAUGAUUAAUAGCAUGAAAAAGAAAACAUUAUCAUUCAAGUAAGCUUUCAAAUGAAAUGAGUAAUUAAAUAAAAAAAGCACAUAUCAAGAGACAAAUCAAAAGUAUAGGCAGCUUUAUUGGCAUAUGAUUAAGUAUUGUUUAGAUUUUAGAAUUUGUAUUUGUGCAUGCUUAUGAAAACCUUGGAAGAUGUUGCUGUUGCCCAGGAGCUAACAGAGGAGGUUCUGGAGUCAAUCGGAUAGCAGAUGACAUAUAUAAAGUGUAGACAGCACAAGUUCAAGAAGAACUUUUUGCAUGCCAAUUGCAUCUCUAAAACAUUAGGCAAAAGCCUUCCAUUUUUUAUUUUCCAUAGCAUGAAAACUCCAAUUGAACUCAGGAUAUGACUAUAGGACCUAUACAAUGAGGAUUUUAUGCUAUGUCAGUAUUUAUUGAAUGCAUCACUUAAAAAUAAAAACAUAAACCUAUUAACUCCACCAGAAUGUGGCCCACUACGACUGGACAUAUAUGUGCUCUAUGACUAACUUUAAAAAUAAGGUAUAAGGUGAAGAAUCUGAAACAAGCAAGUCCAUGAAAAAGUUCUACUUGAUUUGAAUUGUAGGCUUCAAUUUCCUCGAUGUGACAAAGGAACAAGAAUUAGAUACACCACAGAAGAACAUUACCUUUUAUUUAACCGUUUUUUUUUUUUGGGGGGGGGGGGGGGGGGGGUUAAUUUCAUCAGACAUUAAGAGAAGGGAAGCAUAAGUAAUUAGCGAACAUUGCUAACAAGCUUCUAAUAGCAACAAAUUAGUAUUAGAUCAAAAUUAUACUAUAUUCAAUCAGCUCAAUAUAUCAGUAAAGAUUAUCAGAUGCAGCUCUAAAUGGAUGAAAAUGACUGGAAUCAUAAAGAUGUCGCAUGUUCUAGCUUCUGCUAUCUCCUGCUCUUGGCCCAUGUUGCUUAUUGUCAAGUGAAGUUAAGCAAGAAAGUUUCAUUGAACAGUAAGGCAGUCAAGUGAAGAUGACCAACAUAUAUCGCCAAAAGAAUGAUAAACAGAGAGAGAUGGUGUUUAAUAGAUGUAAACGAAUUUCAUAGAAUUUGUGGUUUCAUCAAAAAUUGGCAGAUGAUUCAGUCGAAACAGAAACUAGUUGUCAUGACUAAGUAGAACGACUGUCAUCAAAUCCUACACUUAUCUUCUAGCAUAGGUUUUGUUACAGGCAAAUAGACUGAAGCAGAUCUCACUCAUGAUUUGCACCAUUAACUCAAACAAGCAAAUCAGUUCAUCAGUUAUUAUCCCUCAAAAAACUCAGUUCAUCAAUUUGAAUUGUAAAAAUGAUAUGCCUAUAUAUAUAUACCUCUAUCAACGAGUACUGGUUCAGAGUAGUAACCGCAGACGAGGCAACGGAAUGUAGCUUCCCUGACCUCGGGUAUGAUGGAGCUGCAUCGGAUGAUCAUCCCCUUCACGGACACCAUCUUCUCAAUAUCUAAACAAAUCAGACCCAAGAAAAACAUUCAAGCAACGAGCAAAAUCGAUACACAAUUAAUGACAUAUGGAGUUAAACAAUGAGUAAAUUAAAAAUAAUCAUUUCAAGGAAUGUAAAUACGUGGGUACCAGAGGGGUUGAGAUUUCUCAUGCUGACGGAAGACUUGAGAUUAAAGAUCCUAGUUUGGAUGUGCUUCUCGAACAAAGGGUUGAUCCGGCCAACCAGGUCCAUGAGCACGAUAUCGAAGAUGGCAAGCACCUCGAGCGGGUACCUCACCAUCUUGCUGUAGAGGUCGGGAUCAUAGUCGAACACAUCAUGCGCAUCAACGUCCAAAGACUCCCCGCCCUCCAAUUCAAUAAUGCGGUGCACCGCCCGCAUGUACUUGCCCUCCUCCAUGAUGACGUCUGCCAGGCCGGCCUCCUGCGGGUCCCGGAAGUUGCGGAGGAAGCGGAGGAUGGCGGCGUUGACGUCCUGCACGCUGAUGUUGGUUCCCCACACAAACACCGGAGUGGAGUCGGCGUCCACGGGGUCGACAUCGUCGUCGCCUGUGUCGGAGGAAGGGGGGAGGUUUUCAUCGGUGGACAUGGGGGUGGAGGGGGUCUGCCAGCNNNNNNNNNNNNNNNNNNNNNNNNNNNNNNNNNNNNNNNNNNNNNNNNNNNNNNNNNNNNNNNNNNNNNNNNNNNNNNNNNNNNNNNNNNNNNNNNNNNNNNNNNNNNNNNNNNNNNNNNNNNNNNNNNNNNNNNNNNNNNNNNNNNNNNNNNNNNNNNNNNNNNNNNNNNNNNNNNNNNNNNNNNNNNNNNNNNNNNNNNNNNNNNNNNNNNNNNNNNNNNNNNNNNNNNNNNNNNNNNNNNNNNNNNNNNNNNNNNNNNNNNNNNNNNNNNNNNNNNNNNNNNNNNNNNNNNNNNNNNNNNNNNNNNNNNNNNNNNNNNNNNNNNNNNNNNNNNNNNNNNNNNNNNNNNNNNNNNNNNNNNNNNNNNNNNNNNNNNNNNNNNNNNNNNNNNNNNNNNNNNNNNNNNNNNNNNNNNNNNNNNNNNNNNNNNNNNNNNNNNNNNNNNNNNNNNNNNNNNNNNNNNNNNNNNNNNNNNNNNNNNNNNNNNNNNNNNNNNNNNNNNNNNNNNNNNNNNNNNNNNNNNNNNNNNNNNNNNNNNNNNNNNNNNNNNNNNNNNNNNNNNNNNNNNNNNNNNNNNNNNNNNNNNNNNNNNNNNNNNNNNNNNNNNNNNNNNNNNNNNNNNNNNNNNNNNNNNNNNNNNNNNNNNNNNNNNNNNNNNNNNNNNNNNNNNNNNNNNNNNNNNNNNNNNNNNNNNNNNNNNNNNNNNNNNNNNNNNNNNNNNNNNNNNNNNNNNNNNNNNNNNNNNNNNNNNNNNNNNNNNNNNNNNNNNNNNNNNNNNNNNNNNNNNNNNNNNNNNNNNNNNNNNNNNNNNNNNNNNNNNNNNNNNNNNNNNNNNNNNNNNNNNNNNNNNNNNNNNNNNNNNNNNNNNNNNNNNNNNNNNNNNNNNNNNNNNNNNNNNNNNNNNNNNNNNNNNNNNNNNNNNNNNNNNNNNNNNNNNNNNNNNNNNNNNNNNNNNNNNNNNNNNNNNNNNNNNNNNNNNNNNNNNNNNNNNNNNNNNNNNNNNNNNNNNNNNNNNNNNNNNNNNNNNNNNNNNNNNNNNNNNNNNNNNNNNNNNNNNNNNNNNNNNNNNNNNNNNNNNNNNNNNNNNNNNNNNNNNNNNNNNNNNNNNNNNNNNNNNNNNNNNNNNNNNNNNNNNNNNNNNNNNNNNNNNNNNNNNNNNNNNNNNUCCAAAAAAUACUUUCUAGCUAUCCUUUUUUUGAUGAGGUCCUAAGUUAUGAUAGAUCAAGAGGUUAGUUUACCCUUCGUUAGUGGUAGUCCAGAGCAAUUCAACAUGCGCUUUGGGGAUAGUCUGGAACAGUUCUAGUAUGCUUGUGCAGCUUAUAAAUAUUUCAGACAUAGUCGGAUGCAAUGCAAGCUUGGCCUCGAGCAGUUCUUGGGUGUGGCUCGGUAGCAUUUCAGUCAAAGAUGGAUGAAUUCAAGCUUGGUCUAGAGCAGUUUUUGGGUAGAUGGAAAUGAUCUUUUCCUAGUUCGGAUUGCAAGCUAGUUAACCAAUAUGAAGAAGUAGCUUUCUCAUUUGAUAACAAAUGUUAUCAUUAUGUCUAAAUAUUGUUGGUCCCCCAAAAGAAAAGCCAUACCCAAAACCAAUAGAUUGUGUUUAAAGUCCAAAUUUAUUGAUUGUAUAGAAAGCUUCACUAGCGAAAAUAUGCCUCUAUGAGAAGAGAAGCAACAACAAUAACAGCAUGCAGCUCGCACACAUGUAAAACAGAACAAGCUACAAAGACAACUAGAGACAAAUCCCAUAUUGGUUCACCACUUUAAUGGUUAACCUUCCUGCAGUGCUUCCUGAUCUCUCCCCUUAACCCAGUGAGUGGGGAGAUGUUGCCCAUCUUCACCAUGGAAUUCGCAAAUUGCUCGAAGAAGAGCUCAUUGUUCUCUGCAUACAGCUUCACCAGCUGCAUGGUGGCUGCACUCUUAGUGAAGAGGACCUCGUCGGAGCUGAGGAGGCCCUUCUCGGCCAUGAGGUUCCUGAAGUAGUUGUUAUCGAACUUGGUGGGGCUCACAAAGUCCAACGGAAAGAGGUUCUGGUCGCCACCCGACUGCGGGCAUCGGGUCCGCAACUGGGCGGCGUAGGCUGCAUCGAGUGUACCAUCAGGGAGCCCAUUGCCUGUCUGGUUGUAGAGCCGUUGGCGGAAGCUGGUGCACCGAGAUUGCCCGAUCGUGUGGCUGCCUGCAUCGANNNNNNNNNNNNNNNNNNNNNNNNNNNNCCGGAUCCAUGGUUUUAACAACACACGUGAUCUCAACGUAGUACUAAAAAAAGAAAAAAAGAAAAAAAAAGAAAAAAAAGGAAAAAAAAAAUUACCUCUGUAACUGUUCAUCUUCAACCUCCGCCCACGCUGUGAACCGCGCCGCCGUCGUUGCCGAGUCGCGUCAUCACCAAGCUGCAGCUGCCCAAUCGCCGUCCACCCGACGAGCAACGCCGCCGCACCGGCCAGUCGUCCCCGCUGCCCCUCCGUCGCCGCAGCGCCGCCAAGCCGUGCGCCUCCUUCUCCGUGGCCGACCGCAGUGCCGCUCCACCGCUUUAGCGCCGCCUCCGCCGGGCCCUCCGCCGAGCUUUCCCUCCGAACGCCGCCUUCCCCAAGCAGACCGCCCGCAGCGCUUCUUCGUGCCCUCCGAGCACGCCGCCAUCGAACCACCGAGCCGCCCCACCUCUGUGCUUCUUUCUCGGCGCCGAGAUCCAUCCCCCUGCCUCUGCUCCGCUGCCUCGCCGCUUCUCGCCGCUUCCGCUCUCGCCCCAACCCGCGUCCGGNNNNNNNNNNNNNNNNNNNNAUUGCUCCUCAACAUUCGCAGACUACGGCAGAAGUGUGGCACCCUUGAGGCCACACACACCAACCAAAAAACAUAUGGUGCGGUGGAUUGGAUUACCUUUUAUGCAGCCCACCACUCCGAAGGCUUCGUUUGGCUGGAGCGUGCCAGAGUGCCGGAUUAUUUAUCUAAUUCGUUGUUUUCUAAUUUAGUUGGCCGCAUCCACACCCGUAGGGUGUAAACUGAUGUUGUACCAAAAAAAAGAAAAAAAAAAGGAUAAUGGCCAUACCAGGACUGUAGAAUCUCUUGCCGCAAGGGCUACGAUGUCAGCGCAGGACACCGUAAGCGGGCAUUCCUUCUCCAAUGCAGACUUGAUCUCAUCGAUGACUUCGAACCCUCUUGCCGAAUUCCGGUUCGGGUUGGACCGCUUCUCGCUAAGGAAAGUCCCGGUGCUGUCCAGAAGAACGGAUGCAUCACAGCCCUGCAAAAGUUCAGCAGCCUCGAAAACCUUUAAGAAGCUAUUUGCUACGAACAAGAGAACUAAGACUAGUUUGGUCAUAGUAUUCAUGGUCAUUCUGAAAAAAAAGUAAGGGGAAGUUGAGGGAUAUGAACCAUUAUAUGAUUAAUAUACACCGAAGAGAUGCAGUUAAGAGCAAUAGUGACCACAAUACUGUAAUGAAUCUGGUGUAAUUUUCUUCCUUGAAAAAAUGGAUUAGAAGAACCACCUUGACAAAGCAGUCAUGGAAGUGAAGCCGAAGCAGAGAAGCAGCCAUUCGUGCUUCCUUUGCAACAGCUUUGGCAACGACAGAUCUCACAAUCUCUUGCGCUUUCGGGCAUGAAUGGUCGUAAAACUGUGGGUAGAGGUGUCCGUCUGGAUGAGGAAAUGCAAAACAGAGAGAGGAGAGAGCAAGAACAGAAAAAAAGACGAGGAACCUCAUAGAGGGAGCCAUCUCUCUCUGCACUUCUCUUGUAGGAAAGGCAACAAGCUAGUUUUAGAAGGAAUGGAGACUCGGAAGGGAGAAAACUGCGAAAAAGGCUUAUGUUUUGUGACAAAAGAGGAGGUCUUCUUUGAGUAUAUAUAGACAGAAAAUAUGAUACCUCGAGGAACAUACGGGAGUGCAGGGAAUAAAGAAGUGUUGAGAGUUGGUAGGCUUUAUUUAGCUUCUCCCUCCCACUCCGUGAUCAUCAUUUGUAGAGUAAGUAGUACCUAAACAACCUUUGGCUUCAUGGCAAUAAUAUAUGAAUGGGAAGUAACUAAAUUGCCCUUACUUGGACCAAGGAAUCUAGUAAGGACCAUCACUUCUCUAUGCUUUCGUCUUUGGAUCAUUGCUUAGCUGCCAUUAUAAGAAUGCUUAUAAUUGUUUACUAUCCACCAGCUAUACAACACAAAUAUUUUAUUUGAAGGGAUAUAUAUAUUGCAGAUAUGUAAUGGAAUAUUAAUAAUAAAUAUUAAAUAUAAUUAUAGAAACAAUGAGAAUAAUAAAUAAGAACUCUUGUAACCCUGCUAUAACAAUCAUAAUGUGGAUAUACGUGUAUUCAAAAUUAUCUAUAGGCACACUAUGUAAAAGAAUACAUAUAUAAAACGAGAAUAUAGCAUGUGUGACACGUAUAUUUUAUUUUAUUUUUGUAAAAUAAUAAAUGUUUCUGCUGUAGUAAGGGAUGAUUAUAUUUUUUUAGGAACCUUUAACAACAAUUAUUUAAAUUAAAGAUGAUGAUAAAUGUUAUUGGAAAGGACUUUGACUCCUCGACCUUGUGGUUAAAAGCCGCGCUCUAAAAUUAUCCAGAUGGGAUAGGAGAAAUGCAAUAUAAGAAAAUGCAUUCAAGUUAUUCAUAGUAAAAUGUUUAUGCAUCUUAUAUCGAUUUUUAUGAAAUUAUGAUAGUAUUAAAACUUGCUCUACUUUAUUAAGCCUAGGUGUGGUCAGGAUUCAUUUUAUGGCUGGUGGUUUAAACAAAAGCAUUCAAGUGCUGGAGUGGUGUCAUGCUACCAUACUGAGGCCAUCCUCUUUUUAGGAGCAUGUCAAUUGUUGUGGAAAUUACCAUGCAAAAAUAAGCAGAAAAGAAAAGUCACUCAAACAAAACUCAGGUUUUUUAAGCAUUUACAUUGCUUUAUUUGUGACACAUUUCACAAGGAGCAAUGGCAUUGCAUUGCAACGUAGAAGCUAAGUAAUUUUUUGAGUGUGAAUUCUAAGUUAUUAAAGCGAAAAGUAGAGAGGAGCAAUGGUGAUUUCUCACAUGAUGAAGGAGAGUCCUCCAACCCUCGGAAUUUGGAUAAGUAGCAGACAUAAACUCACCCUCAACCAAAUAGUUGAAGCUACUUAUGAUUGCAAAUUGAGUUCUAAAAGGCUCAUUUUGGAGGUCAAGUUGCCGUCUCUGCAGAGUUGUCCAACCUUAACCUGAAUUAGUCCGCUGCAACCGCCUUGUCCAUAACUCAGCACACCAUUUCCAUUGGAAGCUCAUCGAUGUGUGGCUAGAAGAAGAUAAAUCUGAAGGUCAGGUCACUUAGCAACAUGGUUUGCAACUAUUUAUCCACAUCAUCAAUGCUAUUGAUGUUUGUAAAAGGUUUCUUUCACCAUCAGUUAGAACCUCGAAACAUGAUUUGUUUAUCGAUAUCCAUGUCGCGUAUGCAUUUUGAAUGUUCCAUUGAAGACAUUAGACAGGUUUCGGACCUUCCGUCAUCAUAUAUCAAAUUUUGGAAAAGGUGAACCUUUACCAUUAAUUCAGUUUUGCAUUAGAACUUUGGCUUCAAAGAUAUCAAGAUGUCAAAAUAUACAAAAAGAUAUCAAGCAACAUGAAGCUAAAGGAGUUCAAUUAAGCUACUGUUGCACGCAAAGCUGAGUGUCUCAGACUGUAGCUGGACCAUUAAUUCAUGAGUACUGGGUUGUUUUUUGGUUCCAAAUUAUAUGCAGCCGGAACGGAUUCAUUCUACGUACGGUAGACAUUUUUCAAACACAAUAACAUCCCCAUUUUUAUUUUCUAUGGAUGUUUCCAAUAGAUUGGUGGACUCUAAGCCCUCUGUUCACUUAAAAAAAAAAAUCAUGGGACCAACUGAUUUCAGGAGAUUAGAACGAGCAUUCUAGUAAUUUAGUAUUUCUAUGUUUUUCAAAAAAGAGUUUUUUUUUUUACUUAAAAGGUAGAGGUAUAAUUAAAUCACCUGUGAAAGAAAGAGAAGGUGGAAGAAACACAUCCUUUUUUUUUAUUUCGUAAUCAAAAUAUUAUAUCCUUGACAGGACCAGAGGGUUUUGGUGAUAAUUAGGUUCAGCUAGAGUUCCAUGAAAAGACACAAAAGCUUCUGUUCAAGACCAAAUUAAAGUGGGAACAGUGGCACCUGCCACUUUAACUCUUGCUUUCCCUUUUGCUUUUGAAGCCUAGAUAUUAUUUUUUUUCUCUCUCUCUCUCUCUCUCUUAAUUGUUAGUGUUAUAACUCUUAAGUGUUAGAAAUAUUUGUGCCUAAAUGGUUCCAGGAGCCAUAGAUGGGGACUGAGUGUGUUCUAAAGUUGUAGUUGGGGGACCAGCCUUGUUUAAUCUUGUCAAUAUUAAAUAAAAGCCUAGCCUCUGAUGUGAUGAUGUCCGUCCCCCAUACAUGGUUGGUGGAUAAGCAUGAUUAAAAGCAAAGCAUGCAACAGUGCAAGCUUGUGUCUUGAAAUAUAUUUAUUAAUUUAAAAGUCUGAAAUAUGAUAGAAUAUGUGGCACCAAAAUGAUUUGCAGUAAGUUCCACAUACGUCCAUACUUUUUUCUCUCUGUCAUUUAUCAACUUAUCAUAACCACAGCAAUAAAAAAGACAUAUCAGCAAACCAACAUAACGACACAUUAAAUGCAAUCAAGAGUGAUCAAUUCCAUCAAUUUACCAUGAUGCAUCAUCUAAAUGAGUAUGCAUGCAUAUAGAUGAUCGGCCGGCCACAAAGAAAAACAUGCAAACCAUAUUUUCAUAUGCAUAAUAAACAGUUUAGUAAGGAACAAGGAUUUAAGCAGAAAUUAUCUCAAAAUGGACUUGGUGAGAACAUGAAAAUAUAAUAAAUGGUGACGAGUAGGCUAAAUCCUACUCAUGCUAUGAAGGACGAAUGCUAUCAUGUAAUACAUCAUCAAGAAAAAAGGCCCAAGUUAAUAAUUUCUUAGUUCAAUUAUAUAGGUGUAUGUACAAGUAGCUCAUUGGCCUUAGGCCAAAGACUUUAUAUCACUCAAUUAGGGGUGAAAACAAGCCAAGCAACUCAGUGCUGCUCGAGUUCACCUAGAUCUAAGUUUGACUUGACUCGAAUAUUAUCGAACAAAAUAGAAAGCUUGCAAACCUAGUCAAAUUAAAUUUAAUAUUUUAAAAUAGAAUAUUAUAUUAUGUUUUAUUUUAAUAAUAGUUUUUAAUUAUGACCAAAAUUCGAAUUUAAGCUCGAAUUCGAGUUCCAGUAUAGCUUGAUUAAUAUUUGAGCUGAGUCAAGUUGAUGUAAGAUAUUAUUUUUUUAAUUUUGUGAUCGUAUUGAAAUCAAGUUUGGAUAUUAAUAUUUGAUUGAUCUCAAGUUAAACUUUAAGUCUGAAUAUUUUAAAUGGAGUUGUGCUUAAGUAGCCAGCUAUUUGGCCCAACUCAACUUUCGCCGUUACAGCAUUGGACCCGAAAGUAACGGGCCUGCCUCCCGGCUUCGUCCUGUAAAUGGCUUAACCCAGAAGUAGCCCGGGGUGCGACGAUACGGCUGUUGGGCGGCUUAUAUAUGCACACCGGAUCCACUGGCUGGCACUUAAAAACCAGUGCGAUUGGGCGUCUCCUGCCCGGCCGAAACCUAAAAACCCCGACGGACGUGACGUCGGAAUCUAAUCGAAGAUGAGCGAGGGUGAGGACGCCGCCCGACGCCGGAGCGCCGUCAACGACUACCGGAAGAAGCUCCUCCAGCACAAGGAGCUUGAUUCCAGGCUUCGUACAGGUGCCUCCUCUCCUUCCCUCUCUCCAAUCACGCUCUUCAAUCCACCGCUCUCUUCUUUCUUUCCUUCCCUUUUCUUUUUUGGUCCCGAGAAAUGGGUAUGUGGAUUCUGGAUUUCAAUUUAGGGUUUGGCUGUUGUUUUCAUUUGUUGUCUUUUCUCUCCGCAUCUUUCAAUCGUGAAGGGAUUGAAAGUUGAGAUGGGGGAUCUUGUUUGUGAUGGGAUGGGGGCUUGGAUUUGUUGUAGGUUUUAUUGAAAGGCAAGGUAUGAAGAAAAAUUAUGCAUGAGAGAUGGAGAUGGUUGUUUGGAAUUUGUAGGAGCAAGGGUGUUUCGGUAUAAACCAAAAAAGUUUGGGAAGUAUGGACACAGGGUUCUUUCCUGGUUUAUUGAUACAUAUAGAGUGGUUGUUGCCGGGCAUUAGUUUGAUGUUCUUGUGGACAGAAAAUACGGUUACAUUUGGUCUGAUAUUUUGAAGGACCCAAGUUUAUAGGUUUCCAAUUUCUUUCGUCUAGGAAUAUCAAAGAAACGCUUUGCCCAAUUGCAACCAUGUUAAAAUUGCAGCGGAUGAUAAUGGAAGUAAGGAAAGCAUAUAUGCCGUAAAAAAUGGAAGUAUAUUUAAUUAAAAAAUGCGAUUAAAGAAGGUCUGUUAGUAAAAGGAAAGUAAUUGUGUUAGGUGAAGGAAAAUCUUGAUUUUUAAUGAUAUCAACAACAUUAUCAGAGAUAAGAGGUGAAUAUCUUUGCAUAGGAGAAUCCUAAUAGAAAGACUUAAGUUGGGAUUUAUGAAUUUAAGUAGGGCAAAGGAAAUGAUGUGGAUGGUGGUGUAAAAGGUCAAGGGUGGAAUGGGUAAGGUAAGGACUAAAGCAUUUUGCCUUUUCUUUAAUUUUUAAUAAAAAUGUCAUUUUUCUUUAUAUACAUUCUGAUGAAAGAUGGCGCUAUGAUUUCGUUAAGAAAAUUUAGUCCUCUUUCACUAAAAUGGUUGGAACUGUUGUAGGAGGUUAUACCCUUUUCAAAUAUAAGAUUGUUCCACACUAAUAGAAACAUUGAUCAUAUUCUUUUUUAGUGACUUAUCCAUAUGAACUUUAUUAGAUUGUUGGCUGGUGUUUUGUAUUAAUUUUAUAGGAUUCAAUUAGGUCUCUAUAAAGAUUCAUUGCGAAUUAUAGAUCAUACCUAGAGAAAAUGAUAUAGAACUUUAACAGUUAUAUGUUAUAUUCAUAUUGUUUGUCAUCCUAGAUGUGAAGUCAAGCGGACGCUGUUGUCUCUUUUCUCUUCUUUCUAUCUUUUGUUCUUUCUUCUCUUUCUUAUUACAGAGAAAGGUUCAGAGAUGCUUCAUACAAAGUUUUGCAUUACUACAAAGCAAAAUCAUUUUGUCAAUCAAGUUUCCUUAGUGAUUGAGAUAAUUAGCACAUCAAUUUGCCGAAUGACAGUCAUUGUAUUAGUUCUUGUGUGUUAAUUGAAAAGUUGAAGCUGAAGGUGGAUUUUUUAAUUUCAAUUAACCAAAAUAGUUUUAAGGGCCUUCACUAAUGUCAACUUCUUGAUGGCUGUGAAUGAAUAGAUGGUUGCCUAGGUGAGGUACACCUAGGUAUUCCUAUAAAGUUGAUCAAUAAAAUAAAAGCUAUGGCAAUGCGACCUUAAAUUUUAUGUGAUGAAGAAUAUGAUAUUUGAGGGCGGGUCUUGGUGCAACAGUAAGGUUGCUUUAUUGCGACCUGGAUGCCAUGGGUUGAAAGUGACCCUCCCCAGACCGUAUUGUGGCAACCUCAUGCACUGGGAUACGCUUUUUGAAGAAUAUGACAUUUAAGAGUUAUGCUGCAAAGUGCAUGACAGCCAUGAAUUGCAAAUAUCUUCAAGGAUGUAUUACAAUAGUAAGGGAUAAAGGGAAUAGAAAAACUGUUUCUCUUUAUGUUUCUCAUCGCAAUCAAAGUGUCUAACAAAACUUUCUGGAAUGAGUAGAUGUCAUAAGUCAUUAGAAUUUUUUUUCCUAUCUUGCAUUUGCAUUAUGUUGCAAAUGCUUAGGAGGAUGAUUGUGAAAAACCGAGGAUGAUUUUGACAAAACGUGGUCCAUUUUUAUAUGUUUUAUGUCAAUUUUGAACUUUAAAAUUAAAUUCUAUUUAGGUUCUCUUGCUGGAUCCAUAUAGAAAGGUUGAUAUGCUGGAUAGCGAAUUGCAUGGUUAUCUUAAUGCUUACUUGAUAUUUGUGGCUUUCACUAUUAUUGGGGCAUGCUAAAAGAUAUGAUGGGGCCCAUGUUACAUAAAUAAGGUCUCAUUGCUUAGGCUAGAAAACUAACAUUUUUAUUAGGAGGAAGGAAUUGUCUAGUUAAAGUUGUUUUGUCAAAAUUGAUAGUGUUUUUUUUAUUUUGUCAGAUUGUCACAUUAUCACUUUUAUGAAGAUUCCUUGAUCAUAUGAUAAAAUUGAACAGUGAAUUUGAUGAGUUGCUUACCAUAUUAAAAAGGAUCAUUAUAUAAAAAAGGGAAAAAAACCCUAUAAAGUGGAAAAGAAAGACAUAUCCUAGCAAUCUGAACGCUUAAGUUUAUUAUCAAAAUGCCAUUUCAUUGAAGGAUGAUUUGAUGAACACGUGCUGGGUAUGCAGAAUAACGACAAAGACAAAAAAAAGAAGGAAAAAGGAUUUUGAUAACAUGCAUCAAAGAGUGAGCGAAUUAGAUAAAAGUAAAUAAAAAGGGGACUGAAGCGCUCACAAAUGUCAUUUGAUAAAUUGGAGGAAAAACUCCUGAAAAAUGUGCUGUAAGUUUAUUAUGACAUAUGUUUUUAGCAUGGAUACAAGUAUCAAUGUCGUACUAGUCCAUAUUAGCCAUAUCCGAUUGUAUGGACACAUCGUUUUACCUCUAUUUUGCUGUUCUGAGACCAAGAGGCAUAUCGUAUACUAAUAUGUCACUGUAUUAUAUCAAUCUGUAUCAUACCAGUAAGGUAUUAAUGUCGAUAUUGGUUUUGGUACUUUAAACCUUGGUCUUUAGUAUAAUUUUGAGAAAGAAAUACACGGGAUAAAAAAAAUCAAGAAUAUGUUUUAACUCAUUGAUACGUUGUCAAAUUCUUAAUUGAUACCAAAGUUAGAAACCUCAUCUGUAUUGUACAGGCUUGACCCCAUAUCAUGUGCUGCAUCGACCCAUAUCAACACAGGGGUACUGUCUAGUUUCACAAACCAUGAGCACAUAUAGGUAUAUACCAUAUCUAAUGCCAUGUAGACACAUGAAUAAUAUGAGGUCAAUGUGCGAGAUUACAAGCGUUGUUCGACAUUCCCCUGUCUUAGUGGGUUUGUCACGAUACUUAUGUUGAAACCUAACAUUUAAGAAAGAUAGAACUAUUUCCAUAUUAUUGGCUUCCUUAUUUCCUACUUCAGCAUUUCUCCUUGGAAUUCAGAUGGAUAGAUGGUGAAAGGUCCACUUUGACUAUGAAAGCAUCGAAGAGAAAUAUGACAAGAACCUCUCUUGAUCCAUAUUUACCAUCUUUUGCAUUAAUCCCUAAAGUUACAGGACCCGAUUGGGUGAGAAUAGUGCUGGUGUAUUGCAUAAAUCUCUUUAAUUUCAUAAGACUUCUAAAUCUGACACUACCUAAAGCAACUGUUGAGGAUGAGUCCUCGCUAACCUCUAACGAGUCACAAAUUACACUAAGUUCUACAACUCAAACUAUAUUUGAGCAAAUCUCUCACUUGCAACUAACUGUAUUUUCAGUUUGUGGCUUAGGCUGUGUUUGGAUGUACAUAAAAAUCAUAAUAUUUUGUGGUUUUAGAAACAACAUUUAUUGGUUUAGAAUUUUGUGCAUAUGGUUGUGUUUUAGAAAUCCAUAAUUUCCUUUAAAUUCUAUCAUCUUAUGUUACAUGGACAACCGCAUCCACCUCAAAGAACCCAUGUUAGAUACCUAUUGCGACUUGGAUACUAUUAGACACUAAGAUACUUAUCAAGUUCUUCAGUUAGAGAUUGGGGGAGAUCUUCGAACAAUGACUUGUAACAUACUACAAUCAGAACAAAGUGGAGGGCGAGGCCGGGGGGGUGGGGGCUUUUGUUCUUUUUAGAGGUUAGUGAAUGAUAUUGGUACUAAAAUAACUUCAUGAAAUGUCAUCUUCUAUUUAUUCUUACGCUAAUUUGGGAGUUUAAAUAAGAAAAAUGUAUAUUGCAAGACCUUAAUAAAUGAUAUAUUUAGCAUUUCUUUUAUACAAUAUUAUAAUAUAUAUAUAUGUGUGUGUGUGUGUGUACAUAUUUUUGUCAAAAUUAUUUCUUUUCCAUUAUGUUGUCAUUAUCUCAUCUUUUUUCUCUUAUCGAGUUAGGAAUUUGGAUGCGUCCAAUUCCGAUUCUCACAUCUAUGUCUAUCCAGCGUUGCUUAAAUCAUGGAAUUUAAAGUUUCUACUUUUAGUAGAAUUUUCUGAGGUCAUGAUUUUCUCCUCUUUAUCAGCUUAUAACUUUCCAUUUUAGAUACUUUCCUUUUUGGCAACCAAAACAUCUUCCGCAAAAAAUCUCUACCUUUAAAAUCAGAAAUUUUGAAUCAGGAAGUGAUUAAAUUAAUAUUUUAAAAUUUGAACCUCCAAACUAAGCAUUCAUGAUAGAAACUUGCUUGUUGCGCCGCUUGCAUGAUAAAAGUAUGGUACGUCAUACCGGCCAGUACGGGACAUACCGUACCGGUUCGGUACUGGUGGUGUAUGAAUAUUCGGUAUGCCAAAAAAAAUUCUGCACCGUACCGUACUAACACUAAACUAGUAUGGCACUGGUACGGGGUUCGGUACUGAGACGACAAACUUUGGAUAAAAGAGUGAGAAUUCACCUGAGCUAACUCAUGAGGAAUCAAAGCACUUCCAUUUUGUAAAGUUGGUGUCAGAUCAAGCACCUAGGAGUAGUUGGUUGAUUACACUUAAAUGAUCUGUAAUGACCAAAUGACAUAAUGGGAUCUGUACUUACACUACAACCAAUAUAAAGCAUCAUAUGAGAUCAUUUUGCCAUUUAUGGUAUAAUUUCCAAUUUUAGUGUACUAUAUAAAUGUGUUUAAAAUCUUAUUAUUUAUUAAAAACAUGGUAUUUUGCUACCUUGCUUUUAGCAACUACCAAUAAAUGAAGACUGCUAUUAAUUUUGCUAUAAUUACUUAUUGUUUUCUAUUAUAAAGGUUAAUAGUGACGGUUUCAACUUAAUAAUUGAAUAAUUUGAAAUAGGUUUCAAUUUUUUAGCAAAUAACAGUCUGUUACAGCAUUAUAAUGGUGAAUAUUGGUUUUGGGCCAUGGUUGUUAUGUUAGCUGAAAGCACAGUAAUUAAAUAAUGUAAAAUUUUAAUUUUAUUUUGUUAUCGAAAAGGAUUUGCGCUUGCCCCCAGCACUUCAUCCUUCUUGCCUAGAGGUGGCAAACCACCCAAUGAUGUUCAUUACAUGUAGAGAUUAUCUUGGUGCUCAUUAGAAUGCGAUUUCAGUACAAAUAUUAAAACAUUUUACAGUGGAGCUGAUAGUAUCAGUAGGAAUUUGGCCUGACAAAGAAUGAUAGAACAGAAAAUGUAAUAUCUGCCAAGUGUCCUUGCUGGUCAAAGAGGCAAGGUUCCAGCUUAUUCAAACCGAGUUGGAGAACUUUAAAUUUUAUUUUUAUUUAAGACAAGCUAGAUGAAGCAUCAUUUUAUUUUUUGCUUGUAAAGCCUUCGAUAAGGUGGUGCAAACUGUGAAGCUAUGUAGAAGCCAAAGAAACUAUGUUAGUUUGCCUAAAAUUUUUGGUUGUACUAUGCUAAUCUUUUAUAAGCUCCAAGAUGGUUUAGCAACGGAAUAUAUAAGAGAAAAAUGACAUUCUUCUGGAAGGGCAAAUAACUUGUCAUUGGAUUCAACUGCUUAUUGAAUUGGAGGAGUGUUUGCAAAUCUAAAGAGGAUGGAGCUUUAGGUAUCAAAAUGUUGAGGACCUAAACUCGGCUUUGCUUUCUAGUUGGGCAUGGUAGUAUUUAACUCGGGAGGAAGCUACUUGGUGCAAGUUGGUGAGCUCAGUUUACUACUCAAGAAGAAAGCUAGGCCUCAGAAGCCCUUGAAGGACACAGGUUCCUCAGCAAUAGGGAAGGAUAGCAACAACAACCUUAUAUCUUUCUGGCCAACCUCUUGCCUUGGAGAGGUGUGCUUUUGGGAGGAUGAAUGGCUGGGUAAUACUUCCAAGCCUCUAUGCUUCAGUUACCAAAAGCAAUGUGUCAGUAGCAUCUCCAUGAGGAUCAGGGAGGUAAAAUGGCGUGUUAAUGUUCCUAGGCCUCUGAAUUUCAAUGAAGAUCAAUAACUUAGGAGUUGCUUGAAUUGCUUUCAACUAUCAGCCCUUCUAGAACUAAGGACAAGCCUAUAUGGAAAAUGACAAGAGACAAAUGCUUCUCCUUAGCCUUAUUUUAUAAAUUCAUCAACACAGGAAGCUUGCAUGGUUCUUACUACAAUGCACUAUGGAGAUUGGCUGUUCUGGAAAAUGUCAGAAUCUUCAUGUGGCUUGCCAUGCAUAACAGACUCCACACCAAGGAGCUGCUGGCUAGGAAAGGUUGGUUGGUGGACCAAAGUUGAGCAUGUGUUGUCCUAAUGCUGAAUGUGUUGACCAUCUAUUCUUGCACUGCUCCUUUGCCAAGAGGAUUUGGCACACCCUGAAAGCUUGACUUCAAGUCAGUGGUUGUCCCUCUACUGUGCUGUGAGCUUGGACUCGUUGGAGAAGAAAGAGAGUUUGUCAAUCGAAGAGGAAUUGAUGGGACCAGCAAUCUUAGCUGUUUGUUGGCAGCUAUAUAUUCUAUGCAAUGCUAGAGCCUUCCACAAUAAACACUCUUCUCUUAAUGCAGUCCUUGAUGCCACGUUGAGGCCCUUCAAGUCUUGGGGGUGUCUUUGUAUUGGGAUGAAAAUGGAUAGUUACACAGAAGGUUUAAUAUGUGUAACUAACUGCCAUGUAAUCUAUUUCUUAUCUCUCAUUAUAAUUAAUAAAUUGAUGGUCUUACAUCCUCAUUUCUUCUCAAAAAAGAUUUUUUAUACCAAAAUAUUAUCAUGCAAGUUUAUGUAAUUCUUUUUUUUCUGGUACUUUGAGUAAUUAUUGCUGAUAUUGAAUUAGUUCUAUUUUGCUUUUCUUGUUUUGUAUUGCCGACUGGUUCAUGGUCUGAAAUAACUAAUAAAUUCUUUUUAUCUUGAUUUUUUGUGACUAUAAAUGAUGUGGUGGAAACUGGAAAUGCAGUGAGGGAGAACCUGAGGGCUUCAAAGAAGGAGUUUGCCAAAACUGAAGAUGACCUGAAGUCCCUCCAAAGUGUAGGGCAAAUUAUAGGAGAGGUUCUUCGGCCACUUGACAAUGAGCGCCGUAAGUGAACUGCACUCUUUUGUAACUAUGGAGAUGUUUCUUUCUGUUUUGGUUGUUCCUAUGAAUUCAUUUACCAUUGGCCAUUGUCUAACUGAUGUUUGAUUUAGUUAGGACUUGGGAUAAAGGGGGCUAAGAUAUGAAGUCGAACCAGUAUCUUGGCUGUACCCCCAGUCUUGUUCCUUGAACCUGUUUGAAAUUAAUAUAUUUAGAUGUCCUCCGUCAAAUCUGGUUCCUGUGGCUCUCCUCAUUCCCAUUUCUAUUCUCUAAGGAUCAGGGCAACAGGUGUUCCAAUGAUAAUGCUUUAACUACUGCAAUAGAUCAUAGGAUGUUUUGCUUUUAUUAAUCCAUUUAACAGCAGUAAGAUGCUCUGAUUUAUCAGAAAAUUUAGGACUAUAUCUGAGUCCGCAUAGUGUUAUGACUGCUGAUAUCAAAUCAAAUUACACUACUCUAUGGUGAUAGAACACUUAAUACAGGUUGUGAUAAUUGUCUCCUCACAGAUUGUAGUUUAUUGCACUUAACUUAUUCGAUGGAUAUAACAUUUGCUUCUCACUCUGAUCAAAUAAUGCAAUCAGUGUGCCAGUUUUGCAUGUGCUUGAUGCCAAGAACCACUUUGGUUGAACAUUCCUACUAAGCCGAUUAUUAUCCGCCUUUGAAGACUCUGGCAGAAGGCAUAUGCAGUGGUUUACAGAAAAGUUAAUACCUUGGAUUUGUGUGAACAUUCAGUUUCCAGCCACUGAUUUUUGCAUUGUAAUGGUUAAAUUUGGUGGUGAUGGACAUUCAACUCAUUAAGACGCUAGCUAGUUCUCUUUAAGGUAUGUAGUUUUAUGUUGCUUGUGAUGGCAAACUUAUGAUGACUUAAGGAAGCUUUAAAAAAGAAAAUUUUUGCAGUUGUUAGACUUUAAACAAAAAUCUGUCCAGUUGGAAAAGUAGUAGAGUGGUCAAGUAUCUUUAUAUGUUAAUUUACCGAAGCUCCAAGUUCCAUUCUUUAAUAUACCUUGCUACUUUCACUUGCAUAUCUUUUUUCCCCCUAGCACCUAAUGGUUUGGCUUCCAUCAAGGUUUUAUCUUGCUGUCUAAAAUUCUCUUUACCUGGAGAUUGAAAUUGUGAAGUACCAGCUAUUUAACAGAUAACUUAUUUUUACACCAGUAAUUGUUAAAGCAAGUAGUGGGCCAAGGUAUGUUGUUGGUUGCCGCAGUAAGGUGGACAAAGAGAAGCUGACAGCUGGAACCCGUGUGGUUCUUGACAUGACAACCCUCACCAUCAUGCGAGCACUACCACGAGAGGUACUGAAUGGUCAUUGUGUAUUGUUGCAUGGAGGGGCACUGAUCUAACAUAUAUAUUUAAUGGGCUCCAUUCUAUUCUUUAAUUUCCUGAAUUAUGUAAAAACAAAUGCUGAGAAUUUAAUUGCCAAUGUUCUAUCUUGGGUUCCAGGUUGAUCCGGUUGUGUACAACAUGCUUCAUGAAGAUCCUGGCAAUGUUAGCUACUCUGCUGUUGGUGGGUUAUCUGACCAGAUCAGGGAACUCAGAGAAUCCAUUGAGCUCCCACUCAUGAAUCCUGAGCUCUUCCUCAGAGUGGGAAUUAAACCCCCAAAGGUAGUUACGAGCUCAUUGUUGGAUUCUUUAAUGUAUAACUCUAUGAUGAGUUAGAAUUGUUCUUUUAUAAUUACUACAAAGAAUUUUAAGCAGUCUUUCCAGCAAAACCUAUCUUUUGAGUAAAUUGAGGUUUAAACAGUAUAAUUCAUUGUGUCAUAUGAGUUGGUGGGGAAUUGAUUUUUUUGAUUUCAGGGUGUCCUUCUGUAUGGCCCUCCUGGAACGGGGAAGACAUUACUUGCAAGAGCGAUUGCUAGUAACAUUGAUGCCAACUUUCUCAAGGUUAGUGUUAUCUAAAAUAACCUGACCCAGCCCUUUUAUAUGUGUUUUAAUUUUUUUAUAUUUAUCUGUCUAGGUUGUAUCAAGUGCUAUAAUCGACAAAUAUAUAGGUGAAAGUGCAAGAUUAAUCCGAGAAAUGUUUGGUUAUGCUCGCGAUCAUCAAGUAAGGACUCAGAGAUCCUGGGAUUUUUUUUCUUGGGUUUUUUCUUGUUAAAUUGACAUUAUCUCAGCAUCCCUUUUUAUAAAAGCAUUUGAUACACUCAAUAUGCUAUGGCUAGUUCUCAAAUUUUACUUUUUAUCUCCUAAAUGGUUUGUCUCAUGUAAAUGGUUGGGCCUCUCUUCUAUAGCCUUGCAUAAUUUUCAUGGAUGAAAUCGAUGCCAUUGGUGGGCGUCGAUUUAGUGAAGGGACCAGUGCCGAUCGUGAGAUCCAGCGAACACUAAUGGAACUGCUCAACCAACUUGAUGGGUUUGAUCAGCUUGGGAAGGUGAGUUUCUUUUCCCUAAACUUAGUUUGAAAUUGUUGCUACCUAAGAGUAUUUAUCAGGGUGUUGUCUUCUGAAAAUAGUGAUUGAUUAUGAGGUAGUUACAGAUGGCAAUAUUGAGAAGGCUAAAAUAUGGGUUAGCUGAUAUAGUUUCUACUGUGCUAAAUUCUUCUUAGAUCCAAUAUUAUCUAGACGUUUUCUUUUUCUUAUCUUCGCAGCUAUAUACAUAAUACAGGAAAAUAUUUAUCAAACAGCUGACUAUGCUUAUUUUUUGUCUACUGAUUUCUGAGUAAUAUAUGUGAAGGCAUGGCAUUGAUGCCAAACAUAAGUAAUAGAACUAUAAAAGUUAUGCUUAUGUUCUGGUUUUGGUGAUGAUGAAUGGUUGAUUUCUUUUUUCUUUUUCCAAGUAAUUUCUAGGAACAGUUCGUGUAAAUUGGCAAGGACACCCAUGCCUCUGAAGAUCACUGCACAGUCUUUUUUCUUAUAGCUUUUAUAUGCUCAAUUAUAUGGUCAUAUUUGCUUCUUUCCUUUAGUCAUAGCAUUUAUUGCUAGAACUAGUACUUAAAAAAGUAAAAGAAAAUUGGUAUUUGCAUUAGCAGCGGUAAUUUCAUCAUUGAUGGUAGGAUUUAUGUGCAGAUUGUUUUUGAUCAUAACGAGUGUUUUACUGCUUGUGUUUAUGUUUGAUAUAUAAUGCUUAUGAAUAGUAUUAUAUUCAUUCUGUGCAAGGAGCAGCUGUAGGAAUAGGGAAGUAAAGCUUGCAAAAAUAGAGUAUUCUUUGGAUGCUGGUUCAACAGUUAUGAUAGUGGGUGCACCACCUUAAAUGGAAGAUGCUAACCUCCCCAAGGCACAAUCAAUGUGGGACUAGACACGUGCCCGCACGGGUUCUCAAAGGUUAGCCAUGUAAAAGUGUUCGAUGUUGGCCUAUAAUCAGAGGCGAAGCAUUCGCAAAAUCUAACUGUCAAAGACACUCUUCUGAGGAUUGGCUAGAUGAUCUGUCACCUUUUCUUGUUCUAUAUCCGUAAACCAAAAAUACAUCAGCCCUUGUGACUUUAAUAGCUUCAUUUUUGUCCCUUACCUUUUUUAUUGGAUUAAGUAGGGAUUUUAAUGAUCAAAGAAAGGUGAGAUUGCAAUAAAGACAGCCAUCAAUGAUGGAUUUACCCCAAAAAGGUCAAUAGAAUUACCAACAAAAGGAUAUCUCUCUUGACUGCUCAGUCAUCCCUAAAAUUAAGCUCAUUUACAGCGCACACAAUACCCCUCUAGGUCCACUUUGAAUGCGCCAAUAAUAAUAAAACCCCAAAACUGAUUCUUUUGUAUAUUUAUUUAUACAAAAUAAUAUGCUGUAGGACCUACUAGAUUAAAAGUCUAACCCUAUAAUUUUAUAUUCUGAAUUUCAGCAAAAUAAUUUACCAGAUUUUAAGAGCUGAAUCAUAUUAUCAGCAGAAAAUGAAUAAACAGAAAUUUUAUUUUGUAGAAAUCAAAUUAGAGAAUAUAAUAUAAAAAAUGCAUUAUUCAGUAAUUUAAUUUGCUGAAAUUUUUUGCACCAAAAUUAUAAUGCAGAAUUCUAUAUUUGCAAGUCACAGAAAUAUAAUGUAAAGAACUUAAAUGUUCAGAAGUUUAGUUGCUAUAAUUUACUGCAUAAGUACAGGAUGUCCAGUUCAGAUAUAUUAAUUUAGUGAAAUAAAAUAUAUAAAACAUAAUAAUGAGAUAUUCAGUUUGCUGUAACUUAUUUUACAGAUACUAAUAUGCAGAAUUUUCUUUUAUAAAAAUUUGGUUAUAGAAAUAUGGCAUACAGAAUUUUCAUAACAUAAUUCUAUUCUACAGAUUUAAAAACUAGAACCAAAUGAUCAGAAAAUUAUAUUGCAGAAAUCCAAAACAGAUUUUGUUUUUCAGGAAAUUUGUUUUGCAGAAUUUGUUUUAGAGAAAUUAAGUUCUUGAAAUAUAAUCUACAGAAAUUUAAUAUUCAUAAAUUUUAAAAUUAGGACAAAGCUUUCAGAAAAUUAAAACAGAUUUUAUAAUUUUUUCAGAAAUUACAUUAUGCAGAAAUCUAAAAAAUUGAAUAUUAUAUGCAUAAAAUUGGGUAAUGUCUUUAAUAAGAACCAAGAAAGAAUAAAUUUAGUCAUUAAAUUAUAUUGAAGAGAAACUACAAAAGUCUCAACUUUUUACCAUUUACUCUUGCCAAGUCUCAGGACUCCCUCACCACUAUCAAACUCUGUGCUAUGGACACACCCAGGCACUCAAGAUCAGGACUCCCUUGCUGCUCUCAAACUCCAUGCUAUGGACACUCACACUCAAGUGCUCAGGACAUGAGACAAAGCAAUGCUUUAUAUGUAUAUAUUGUCAUACUCACCAGGAUUCAUGUCCUUGUUGUACUAGAUAAUAAGCCAAUGUAUAGGCUCCAUAGUCCUCUCAAAGUCAAAGAAUGAAAUAACUCCGAAUUUAAUAGAAACUUGUAAGAGUCUUGAGUUCCCUACAACUUCAGUUACAAGUCCUGUACCUACCCGACCUCUUUAGGAACGUACCUAAACUAUGCUUGCAACCACUUUAUAAGUUAUCAUGUUCCUGUGAUAAAUACAGAUUCAAUUAGACCAUCAAUAUUAGGAUUCAAAAUACAUCAAAUAAGCAUAUUUGACUAAUCAUAAAAUGAUUAUGAAUCAAAUAUAUGACAUGGCACGUAGGCGCUCAUUCCUAGCUGAUUAAGGAUUAUCACCUCUCUUUCAUGUUAAAGCCUCUUUUUCUAUAAAAUCUUGGACUCUUAAUAAAUCUAACAAUUUAAACGCUACUAGGAUUUUAUCUUAAUGUAAUUUGGUAUUCAAGAAAAUAAAUUCUAAUCAUAUCUUAACUAGAAAAGUACUGCUAACAACAAGAGAGUUUGACACAACCAAACCAAGCCCAAUCCAAACAGUAACUAAGCCCAAAAUAAUUAAUUUUAGUUUUUCUUAAUAACGAAAGCAUGGGGCAUUACAAGGGCGCCAGUCCUAGUGUUGUGACUAGAGAAGUUGGGAAAUGGAUCAGGAGGGGAUAGAAGGUCCACCAUCCCGACUGUUGGGAGACAUGAGGCAUUCCGUUCUGUGGAAAAAUUGGGACGACCUUGUCCUGCAGUAUUUAGAACCAUGUUUAAAAUAGUCAUCAUGCCCUAGGUAAUAGAUUCAGCAUUAGGACUUCCUAACAUGGCAUCACGCAAGUCCUUUGGGUUUCUUUCUUGUUCUCAAUAACUCUUUUUUGGGGUGUGUACAAAAUAUACAAUAGAUCAGGGACAUCAGCCCAAGGUUCGCUGCACUGGUCGGUACCGAUCGGUACCGAGCGUACCGUACCCGUACCGAUGGGUACCGGUAUCGGUACACCAAUGUCGGUACGGUCGGUACCCAGCAUACCGUACCGUACCGACACUUGGUACGUCUAUACUAGUGCGGCAUCGAUACGGGGUUCGGUACCGGUACGGCGAACCUUGCAUCAGCCUAAGAUUGUCUCAUUUUCGAGAUAAUUCUUCUGUGAAAAUCUGUACACUAUAGUUACCAAAAAAAUUAACUGCCUUUUUGUUAGGUGGGAACCU